GUGGCUGGCCCUCCUGCAUUAUGUGACAAUAAAUGAUAAAACAAGUAAUUAAUUGACACACUUUAAUCUAAAAUGAAAUCACAUAAGGUGGGACAACAAUUUAAAUACAAAAUAUAUAAAACAAUUUCUAAAAGCGAUAAUAUCUAUAAUAAUUGAUACGGGAGAGUGAAUUUAAUUUUCUUAAAUAAACUUAGAAAAGAAUAUAAAUGUUUUUAAUAGAUAUUUUGGCUACUUUGAAAAACUUUUUGACGCUGUGUUUCUAAUCCUAAAAAAUAUAAAGUAAAAACUAAAAAGGGAAAAAACUUCCAGAAGUUUGAAAUCAGACACGUUGGGACAAAUCACCAUACCAAAUAAUGAAAUAAUGUUUCUUCUCAUAUUAUUUUAUUUUAUUUUUGCCAUAAUUCUCAGAAAACAAUGUAAAAAAUAAUGAAGGCAAUUGGAUCACAGAGAUGGGAAUGCAUUCCCGAGGACCCAAUAUCUUACACGUCUCCCUAAGCAUAUAACUUGUUGACAAGCUACUUAGAGACAAAAGUGGCCUCCAUCAAUUUUGACAAACACAUGGGAUACGAUAAUUAACAAAUGUUGCUUCAAAUCAAAUAAAACAAUCUAGCUUUUAUUAUUGCCCAAAGUCCGAAUUAAUGAGAAUCGUGUUUUGUUUAGAUACAAAUGCUAAAGAAUUUGUUCACUGUGUAUAUACUUUUCUUUAGCUUGGACAUUUCAUUUGUUGGUUUAAAGAACCUAAUCAUUUCACCUUUGGUUGAUGCAAUUGUAUCAACAAACUUUUGGUUUAAUGAGAAAACACUUUUUCUCACGAUGUGUAGAUUGUGUAUGAGAGUAAGUGUACGAACUCCCAUAAAAUAAUCAUAGGAUUUAAUUUUUUUAUUUAAUUAUGAAAUAAUUAAGUAGAGAAAUCUUCUCUAUUACGAAAUGUGAAUGGAGUAAUAAGAUAUGAUUUACUUUUUUUUUUUUACAACCUCCAACAUUAAUAAAAAGUAGGAGGGAACAUGUCUUUCUCAAAUAAUUUACCUUAAAUUGCUUUUUCUUUUGUUCUUUUGAUAGAAAUUAAGGAGCAAAUAACACUCGAAUGGAGAUCAAUAAUUACGACCUUGCUAAAUUACAUAUAAUUAUAAGCUUCAACAAUUCAAAAAUUAUAUCUAAUAAUUCAUAAAUAUUUGACAGCUAAAAUACACUUGACUUGAUUGUUGCAAUGCUUAGGUUAUUGAAAGUUAUAAUAUUUUGUAACUUAGUUAUACCCUUAUAUGUUUAAUUUGUUGCUUUGGAAACAAUUUACGUUAGAGCAUGUCGAUGAUAAAGGCACAAAAUUUGUCAAUAUUGCCACCUCACCAUAUAGCUUUAAAUAUAGGGGAAGAUUAUAGUACCCAUCUAAACCACCAUCUCCGACACAUCAUCUGACGAUGCUCAAGUUAUCGGGUGUGUAUGGUUCUCCUAAUGUACAAAUUUAUAAUUUAUAGUCAACUUCUACUCUUUAUUAUGUAUAUAAAAACGCGUUGAAAUAUCUAUGCACUCAACUACGUAAUUUUAGCAGCUUUAUAUAUAUAUAUAUAUAAUUUUUUAAAUUUAGACCCUUAUCGACAUUUUUAUGAUAUAAUUAUUUUUUUUUUUCAAGUAAUUUCUAAUUCAUCUAUAUUUUUUUCGCUGGAGAAACAUUUUACACAAAAAUUGAAAAAUACAGAGUUUUCUUUUCAGAUUCCAAAGUCCCACCUCGAUGAGUUGUGCAGUGUCACUGUCACUGUCACUGUUACAGUGAGAUGAUAGAAAACUGUCAUUCUGAGUAUUGUAAAUAUUCUUGAAAGGUGCGGGGCAAAGAAGUAAUAUCAACUUCCAACCAAUUUUACUUUGUUAUUGGACGGACAUUGGUUCGUAACUUCAGAGAUUAUGUUACCUAAAAUUAAAGCUUCCUUUUAUUCCACUCGUUCAGACAAUUGCCGGACGCCAGCUGCAAUAACAUCUUUUUUCCAAAAUAAAAUUCCAAAUCUACCCUCCGUAAUCUAACGCUCAAAAAUGUCAAGCUGCGAGUUCCAACGGCCAGGAUAUACUCAGCGAUUCGGAAUUGAGAUUUGGACCAAAAAAAAAAAAAAAGCAUUUGUGUCUAGUAAAAUAUAAACAAUUAAGAACUGUACAUGGGAGUAACAAUUCGAAUCCCUUUUCAGCAUUUAGUAGCUUUUUAGAAUAUGUAAAUAAUUUUUUUUAAAAAAAUCAUAAAUCCAAAACAAAUAGCAUUUCGAUUUUCUAUAAAUUGAUAACAAUACACACUUCGUUAGACCAUUAUAAUCUACUGAAGAUUAACGAAGAGACCGACGCAUUAAGUGAAAUUUAGAUCCAACGGUUAUCCAAAAGUUUGUAAUAAACUUUUUUACGAGAUUGUAAACUGCAAGUGGUAGUAAACAUAAAUCGUCAUAAACAUGCAGCGUAGCAUAAAAUCUAUUGCAAGAUCAUCAGCCUCUGUUUUAACAAAUUGUCAGAGUUAAUCAACUGUUUUUAAACAGUGGCAAAAAUAUCUGAUUGCCCCGUGGCUGCAAUUAACUGUUAAAAGGGGAAUAUAGUCUGCCCGAAAAAUAUCUGACAGCUGCCCUGAAACACAGGGUAACUGCCCUUUGACUGACACGGUCAGGUUUCUCGCUCUUCGGGCAGCUUGAAACUCCUAUACACGGAGACUCUAUUACCACAAUCAAGUCAAUUGUCUUAAUUAAAACGCCAAGAACGAAACUACUUAAAUGUGUGACCAUUUCUGUUUAAGUAGCCGAAAAAAGUAACCAUUUUUGCUUGCAGACGGAGAGAGUUCUCACCAGCACCACCUCUGGUUUAUGGUGGCGCUUCACCAAGAACCUAUGGUGAAGUGCGCACCCCUCUGAAUAAAAAAAAAAGAGAAAGAGAGAGAGAGAGAGAGAGAGAGAGAGAGUGAUGGGCCAGGGACUGAGUUGUGGAGCGAGUUAUGAGCAUGCUUUGUUCACCGCUGUGCAGCAUGGUGAUAUUGAGUUUGUUAAUGAUUUGUUAGAGAAAGAUUCAAGUCUCUUACAUCAAACCACUGUUUAUGAUCGCCACUCUGCUCUUCAUAUUUCUGCUGCUAAUGGCCAGAUCGAGGUUGCUAGCUGCUUUGCCUCUUUUGAUGUCAUUUCUUUGAUUUUUGUGUCUUUUUGGUGAAUGGGUUGUUAUUAUCUUUGCAGAUUUUGGAGAUUUUGCUGAACCGAUCUGUGAAUCCUGAUGCGGUGAAUCGUUACAAGCAGGUGAGUGAACGGUCACCAACCGACCAUUUUAACUUGAUGUUUAAGAGUGAAUGAAUGUGAAAGUUCUGGUUUUUUUUUUCGUUUUGAUCUUUUCUAAUUGGUGAUUUGAUUUUGAUGACUGUGAAUGGUUUAGACUCCGCUUAUGCUGGCUGCAAUGCAUGGGAAGAUCUAUUGCGUUAAAAGGUUGCUUGAAGCUGGAGCUAAUGUAUGUCAAAUCAAGUUCUCAAUUUUUUUUUUCUGUUUCCUUUAUGAUUUGUUGUUCUUGAAUUGGACAAUUUUAUGGCUAAUUUGGCAAAACUUUUGGCAGAUACUGAUGUUUGAUUCUCUCUAUGGAAGAACUUGCUUGCAUUAUGCUGCUUACUACGGCCAUGCCGAUUGCGUUCAAGCCAUUCUCUCUGCUGCUCAGUCUAGUCCUAUUGCCGUUUCUUGGUAGGAUAACAAUCGAUAUAUUUAAUAGAUUUGUACAUAAGUUUGGCUUAUUAAUGGCUGAUAAUAUUGAUGAGUUUGGGAUUGGGUUUCAGGGGAUAUGCGAGGUUUGUGAACAUUAGAGAUGGAAGGGGAGCGACGCCAUUACACUUGGCUGCGCGUCAAAGACGGCCCGAAUGUGUACAUAUUUUGCUAGAUAGUGGUGCUCUUGUUUGUGCUUCAACCGGUGGAUAUGGGUAAUGAUUGUUGUGAACUCUUUUGUUUUUGUUGAUUUUUGGUGUUAAAUUUGUUUGUAGAUUGAUAGAUUGUUGAUUACAGUUGCCCAGGAAGCACUCCUCUUCACUUGGCAGCUAGAGGGGGAUCUAUUGAUUGCAUCCGCGAGCUGCUGGCAUGGGGUGCAGAUCGCCUUCAUAGAGAUGUAUCUGGGUAAGAUUUAAUUUCUUUUUUGGUUGAUCACAUCCAUUGAUUUUCGUUAUAAUAAUUUGCGAAGUCAGUGUUGUAAUUGUUUCUUCGUUGAUGUCUCACAUUAAUAGCUUCAAAACAAGUGCAAAAGGGCACAUUUGGAUGUCUGGUGAAGUUGCAAAAUUUUUGGUGUUGUUUCCUAGUAUUUUAUUGUAAAACAAAACUAUUGAAUUUGAUUGAAGCCAUCAAAUAACCCAAAAGUUUUAGAACAGAAGCACUUGUAGGAACUCAUUUACAAGUUGAUCAUUUAUCGUCAUUCGUAUCUUUGUGAUGCGUCACGUGCAGCCUGUUCCAUGCAAUCAAUUUUUUUCAAAAAGCAGAUGCAAGUUGUCUUUUCUCUUGAUUUAAUUUUCCAAAGAUUUGCAGCUAAUGGUUUUGCUAUGAAAUGGUGAUAUCUAUGUAGGAGGAUUCCGUAUGCAGUUGCGUUGAAGCACAAACAUGGAGCUUGUGCAGCCUUGUUAAAUCCUGCAUCUGCAGAGCCUCUUGUCUGGCCAUCACCUCUAAAGUUCAUCAGUGAGCUUAAUCAGGAGGCAAAAGCUCUCUUAGAAAAUGCCCUGAUGGAGGCAAACAAGGAGAGAGAGAAGAACAUUUUAAAGGGUACUGCAUACUCACUUCCAUCUCCAUCGCAUUCUGAUGUCGGAGCAGAUGACAAUAUUUCUGAGGUAUAUGAAUUUCUUAAUUAUAUUAAAUAUCAAUCAAAAUUUAAACAAAGAGCAAAACUUUUGAAUUACCUGGAAGUGCUGGAAAUUUUGAAUAUGAAAUUGGUGAAUUUGGUUGAAUUAUUCAAACCAUAUGGAAUGUCUCAGUUUUUGAACUGUAAAAGACUUGCUCUGCUGUUUUCAACUCAAUUGUUUUCAACUGCAUGGAAAUGACAGACUUAGAAAUUCAAUUCCGUACCUUGACUUGCUACAUGGACCACAAGUCUUUUUGCUGAAAGUGUCAAUAAAUAAACACUUGUACAAUUGCGAGUGACCUGAUACUGUACUGCACUCUGACCAAUUGACGAACUGAAAACCUACUUGCUAGCUGAUUUGUUUUUGACACAGGUCACAGAUUUCCUAGAGGUAGAAUUUUCACGUUCCUUGUGCAUAUCAUAGUUCUGUUGCUGAAUCAACUCAGAAAUUGUGAGAACUUGUGUAUAGACUUCUGUAUUUGGCAAAUUCACUAUAGUACUUUUUAGGCCUUGUCCUGAUUAUUCAGUGAUUAGUUCUAUAUUGAUAAGCCAUAUUACUUAAAACUAUUUAUUUGAACAUUUUUUUAUUUUGGAAACAAUGAGAUUGAUCUGUUCUCACUCAAUGCAGGCUAGUGAUACCGAGUUAUGCUGCAUAUGCUUUGAGCAGGUAUGUACAAUUGAAGUCCAAGAUUGUGGCCAUCAGAUGUGUGCACAAUGCACACUAGCCCUAUGCUGCCACAACAAGCCAAACCCUACAACUGCAUGCCUAACACCUCCGGUGUGUCCAUUUUGCCGAAGCACCAUUGCCCAUCUAGUUGUUGUGAAAAUCGAGAACCAGGAAGAUGCUGACCGUGACAUUGGUGACAUAAGUUCGCCAAAGUUGAGAAAGGCGAGGAAGUCACGCAACUUCAGCGAGGGAAGCAGCAGCUUCAAAGGAUUAUCCACAUCAUUUAGCAAGAUGGGUGGCCGCGGCUCAGGCAGGAUUGCUGCCGAAAAUGAGUGGAUUGAUAAGCGUUGAUACUUGGUAGCAUUUGGUAAUCAAAGAUUCCAUUUGGUCAUUAAGAAUCCCCUUAUGUGAAUUCAGAAGAAGGGAUAACAAAGUCAAGAGUCUCCCUUCUGGAGCUGGUCCCAGUGGGUAAAUAUAGACAUAUGGUCCAUUUGCGGUGUAGAUUUGGGAAAUAAGCAAAGGAAGUGAAUUGCUGCAGGUUUGGUUGGUAAGUUUGGUAUAAUGGUUGCUUGGGGUCUCGUAUUGUUGUAAUCUUUAUUUAUCUUGAGAUUGAAGGAGCCUUUUGGUCAUUGUAAGAGUCUGUUAGAUACUUGUAUUAGUGAAAAGAAAAAAGGGAAAAUUCUUAUCUCCUUCAAAUUUUUUCAAUGGCUGCCUCUUUGAAGUCCCGGAUAUGAACAGGGGUUUUAGUUAAUUAGUUAUUUAGUUUUGGCCCUACCAGGCAUGAUCUUUUUUCUAUGAUAUUUUUUUUUUUAAUCAAUUAUUUAUUCGUAUGGAUUUUUAUAAUAAGGUACAGAUAAAAAAUAGAGGCCUGUACGGUUGUUGGCCCUCAUGUGAUCAUGUCUCCAAUUGAGUGAUAAUAUAAAAUUUUCAGUACAAGUCAGGGUGGGGCAUCUCAGUGGGCCCAGAUAAGCAUGAUCUGACAAGAUGCUGACACGUGGUAUGGAUGCCGGACUUGCGUGUUGUGAAAAAGCCUUGGAAAGCGUAGGCACACCGAACUUACGUGGGGCAUAGAGGCCUUUUGAUUUUUUCUUACGGGCCCUGCUGUUAAAAAAAAAAAGAAAGCCUUUUAUUUUGUUUAUGAUAAAAAUGCAAUUACUCUGGAAAGAAAAAGAUAAAAGCAAAUAUCUGUAAUUAUGAAUUUCCCUUAUUUUUUCAGAAAAUAAUGAUGUAAAUUUUUUAAUUGAUUACAAUCUAUAUAGAUUACAACAUGAAGUCUACGAAAAAUUUAAGUAUAUAAACUUGCAGUAUAAUUCGAAGAACUAUAGAAACUAACUUAAAUAUUUAUUUCCAUAAACAUUUAAUAAGAUGUCUACUCUGAUUCACUCUAUAUGUAUACAUAUGCCCUUUGCUCAAACUUGGAAAUGAAGAAGAUUUGUUUGUUUCUAUUUUUUGUUUGUUUACUGUAAGAGCACUUUAGAUGAUGAUGGUGCAUGCGGUAUUGCUGAUGGGGCCAACUAAAAAGAUCUUUUGGUCUUUUCUAUCAACCCCACUUCCCAGAUCGCUGAUGUAGACAUUUUAUUGAAUUCGUUUGAUCUGGGCCCCAUGAAUUGUGACGUGGGUCCAGCAAAGGUCAGAAAAUCGACGGUGUAAAUUUCAGAAAUGUGGAUUGGCUGAUUGGAGUCAGUCAGAAGAAGGAUGGGUUUAUUGGGUUAGGAAUCGUCUUCACUUGUUUCGUUUCAUUGUGAAUUUUUCUUUACUUCUUACAAUUCAAAGUAAACAAUGAACAAAUUGUGAUUUUGUUGACUUAAAACAUUAUUAAAUUUGAGUGCAUAACUGUUUGAAAAGCUCAGUUCAUAAUCCCAAAAUAUUUUAUGAUAAAAGCACGACUCAUGAGUUAAUCGGGUCUCAUUAAUUCACCUUAAAAUCAACAUAAUGGAGCUUGACCAAUUCCUUCCUAUUAAAAUACGUCCUUGGGGAAAAUAUCUCGAGAGAGUCAUUUUCAUGUAACCUUCAUUAAAAUCUUUUAACAGUUCUGCUAAUGUGAAUCCAAUGAAAACGGUUGUUGCAAAUUCACAUGAAUCUGCGAGAACAAGUGAGUACGCGUCAUGCAGAAAAACCAAACAUUAGCCGCCGAUCACAAGCUGACGAAACUUUUUCAGUAGGUUUGAAUCACGAGUUUACAAUAUCAUUAUAUUAAGUCUAUAAUUUUAUUAAAAAAAAAAAAAAAGAAGCCACUACACAAGCACCGAUCAAAUUUUGAUCAACUCAUUGUUAUAUCUAAUCCUUGUCGUGUGUAUGGGCAAAUAUUAUUUUCUUCAUGGAGUUUGUUAAACUCUUUGAGCUUUUCAAUGUAUUUUCUCCCUUAAUCCGCGAGGAAAUUUUGAUUAUUUAAGCUGCAUUCAAAGAAAAUCUUAAACAGUGCCACCACUAAACACUUCAGCACAGAAGGACUUAUAAUUAAUGACUAUUGUUAAUUUAGUGAUAGGGAUAUAGAUAUAGGAGUUAUUAUUAAUAAGAGAUUUAUUUGCCCUACUAAAGAUUAGUUCAUCUUAUCUUAGAAAUUAAGUUCACUUUAUCCACCACUUAUACAAUGAAAAAUUACUAAUAUCUUUAUUGUUUUAUUCAAAUUAUUAUUUAAAAAUCAUAUUUACUACACCGUAUGAACUUUCAUUUUACAAUUAUAAUUUUUUUCUACAGUAGCUAUAACUGCAAUACCUCAUCAAUACUAUACAAGCCAUAUACUGUGACUAGGUAUGUUGUUUUUUUUUCACUUUAUUUGGCCAAAUUCUAUCAUUCAAGCCUUGUAAAAUUAAUUGAAAAUUAGAUAUCCAGUAAUAUGACCCCAAGGGGCCAAGCUUUGAUUUGUUGCUCCUAGUAACUGUCAUGUUCGUUGGAGAUGCACAGACACACUGAGAUGCGCAUACAUAUGACAUACACAUAUAAAAUAUACAACACAGCAAAUUGAAGGGAGAAGAUUGAAUGGAAAGAACACUUAUGUGCUUAAGAUUCAAAAAAUCCACUGGUCUAAUAAAUAGAAGUUUAUUUCUUCCUGGAACAUCAUAUUCAAUCAAAACUAUGAGACCAAAAAAAUAAAUCUGAGCAAACUUAAUGGGAGGAUUGUCCACACAUGCAUGAAAACAAUGCUGGAAUUCCACAUCCAUUACCAGUUUCGGGUUCCAAUCCUCCAUUGUCUCUCCUCUCGGCAUCAGAAAAUCGCCACGGACUUGCCCGUGGGGGAGCAAUGCGACCAUUAAUGAAAAGCGAGUUUGAUUCGAAGCUUGGUUGAGCCAUGGCCAUUUGAUCAUCAGGUCCAUAAAGGUUAGGACUCUGGCUCCUUCCACAUCCGUUGUUAGCAGCUCUUCUUUCCACAGCAAGAAAGUGACCAAGUGAUGGAGGAUUGUUUCUAUUAACAUUCGCAGCAUCAGUAGUGUCCCUUGGGCAUAAAGAAAAUAGCCAAGAUCUUGAUUUGUUGCCACUCUUUUUCUCCUUCACCGCCACUGCUUCUGCUUUUCUUCCUCUUAAUGAUCUUUUUGAAAGCUCCAAGAUGCUUGAAACACCUAUUAGGCUUCCAAGUGUAAUGCUCUUGUCAUGAAAGAAAGACCCUGUAGACUGAAAUCAAUUACAAUACUAGUGUUCAGGCCAUCGAAUUAUCUAUCCACUGUUUCACAGCAGGUAGUGUCGUACAUUCACAUCAAAAAUCACAAUAACAGGAAGGGAAAAAUCAUUUAAGUCACAGUAGCUCACUUCACACCAAUUUCAAAGAAAUCUUUUGUAACCCAAGGAGAUGUCAGAUUGUUGUGAGAAUUAUGAUUCCAAUUGGUGAUCUGAAUUUCAGAAAUUUCUGUAUCACGUUAUUUUGUUCAAUUGGAUUUACAUUUCGGAGAAACUGCAUAUGCAGCAUUCAAUGAAAUACAACUGCUUUCUUUACUGAAUUUAUGAACUGUCACACUCCAAUUACAAGGUUAAUUACCACAUUGUAGCUUCAUGUCUGGUGAUCCCGGUGUAUACUACAUAAUCUGUGGAAUUUUUGCUGGUGAAUCUUUAUUUUUACAUGAAUACUUGAAGAAUACACAUGGCAAGAAUCCGGCAAACAAGAGUGAACACCGGAAGCACACAAGACUUUUCAGGAAACAAAUACUACAACCUUAAUAGUUUAAAUACCUAUCGAUAUCAAGACAAUAAAAAAUGAGUUAGGUGAAAACAAUCUCUAACUGCGGAUUCCAGACCAACAGCAACGAGAUUUUGGACAAAAAAAAUUUGAACUCUGAAAUCUUUUAAUCAAGUUAUCUCCUUCUAACAGACACUGGACCCUAAUUUCUUCUGGCAUCUUCAAUUAAAAUAAUCAUGAUACCGAGCAAAAAUUAAGAACUACUACCUAAAUAUUGAAUUAUGAAUGAGAGGCACGAAAUUACAUUACAUUACCCUUAAAAGAAGCACCCAAAGGGUUAAAUUGAGCAGUAAAAGAAAAUGAGACUAAUGACUGGUUAAUUUAGCAGAAAGUAAGUACAGUGAUAAUGAAUCAAAUGGCUUCCGUUUUUUGAACUGACCUCUGUGUCUAAAUCUGAAGAGGAAUCAGUGGAGGAAGUUGGGGAACCAGUGAGCAACGUGUUGAAUGAAACUGAUCCCAAAUUAUUAUCACCGCCAUUGUUUCUAACCAACCCAACUCUCGCAUUCAGAGGCUGCAAACCCAACGGCCAGCCCUCUUCCUACAAUCAAAUCAACCCCCAAACGUGAUUCAGUAAAAAAAAGAAUUGUACUGCCAGCAAAACCAAAAACAAAAUGACAAAAUCCAGAAGAACCCCAGGUGAAAAAAAUCCAAAAUUAAAGUGAAAGAGAAGACAAACGAAUACCUGUCGAGCCAUAUCAGCUGCUGCCAAGUACUAGCUGGUAUGGAUAUGGUUGUCUUGAUUGAUUGAUCUUUUGGUUAAAAGAAAGUCCAAUGAAGUGACCUCACCCACCUCAUGAAACUAGAAACAUAUGAAGCAAAAGUCUGUCAUUUUCCUUUGGGGCUUUAAUGCUUUUCUACUCUUACAAGCAAACUGCAACUUUGGUCUAUCACUGAUGAGUGUGAGCUAGUAACUAUUAGUAUGCUCUAUAUAGUAGACGUUACUUUAAUAGAUAGAGAUAGAUGGUUUUGGUUCACAUGUAGUGCGGUAUCAGGACAAGAGCAUUGCUUACAUCAGGGAGACACAGUAAAAAACAAGCUGAGGAGGGUCAAAAAGUACAGAGUUAUGACUAAUGAGUAUGAGGUCCUAUCAUUUGUUUGCUUAGCUUUCUUUCUUUCCUUUUUUUUUUUUUUUUUUCUUUUCCCCAUCUUUCAUUGGUUUUGUUGACGAGAAAGAAAAAGACAGAAUCAUUUUGUACCCAGAGAGAGAUAAGAAAAUCGAGGCAAAAUUCCGGGAGAGGAUCAGAAGCUGUCUGCCUAAAUUACUGAUUUACCCAACUAAGAGGUUCUUGGGGAAAAAAAAAAUGAAAACAGAAAAAUUAUGAAUGCACAUUUUUAAAUUCAGUUAGAGAGAUUUCUAAUUAAAUCGUAAUUAGUAAACCGAUUUAAUUUGUCAAAUUUCUUGUGUUUCGACAAUCUGGUUCAUUUUCUUAAUUCUUGAAUUAAAUCUGAUCACAUCAAUUCACAAUCAGAUUAUUAUUCAACCGAACCAAAUCAAAAUAAUUGAAUCGAAUCAUUUCGAAGAAAAUGCAUAACAUUAAUUAUAGCCAACAAUUUCUAUAAAAAAAAUUAUAAAUUCAUUUAAGUAAUCUUGUGAUUAAUAUUACAUAUUUUACGAAACAUAGUUAAACAUGUGAUGUAAUUUUUUAGUAUUGUAUAAAUGGAGUUGAAAUUUUGAUUUAACUAGACAAUGCCAAGAAACAACGUUGCUAAUUAAUCAUUUAUAUUGGUAAAACUCUAGUUAGAUUACCCAAGAAUAAUGUGGUUCACAUUUGUGCCAUGUGAUUGGCUUCAACGCGUGUUUUGUUAGACCUCAUUUUUACUAGAAAGUUAAGGGCAUAUUAGGAAUAAGAUUUGGGGAUACGGCCGGGCCAUUAACUAAGAAAGGCUUCAAUGGCUUUUCAUAAUGAUCAAAGAAAGCUUGUGGAAAGAGGAGGAUCCGAGGAAGUGUUAAAAAGGAAAGCACUUUUGCUUUGGUGGAUGGCAAUAACAAGCGCAUGAAGAAGUCUAACCUAAUCAAGUGUGUUAACUUUCUCUUCAGUCCACGAGCUUCUUAAUUCCCGAGUCAGCCCAAGCUUUUACUUCAAGGGUCCACUUGCUUGGGCGUCUGGGGCCUGAGAAACUCGUCGAACUAAUGCUUUCACAUGAUUCAACUUCUCUUUAUCUUCUUCACUAUUUAAUUUCAUGUUCCAGCUAGCAAGGAAGAUUAAAGAAAGAAAAAAAAUCCCAGCAGCAGCAAGAUCAGGGUCCCCCUAUAAAGACUAAAAGUGUUGUUUCUUUUCUUUGAAAGAGAAAGAUUUGGACUUAAUCCCAGCGUGACAGCCCCUUCAAAUUCUGUAAUUUGAUAUGCAUUAUGGAGAUAAUAUAUAUGUGUAUAUUCUUCAAUUUUUCCAAAUGCAUUGUGGUAAUGAAACAAGCCACUCUUGAGUCAAAAGAAAACAUAUUGCAUGUUUCAUAAAAGAUAUAUGAAGUGUUGACCAAAUUAUAGAAAAGCGUCAAAACUAAAUAUGAAGCAUAAGUAAAUUUGGUAUCAAGUCAUGUUGAGUGGAUGUUAAUAAAGGGAGAAAAAAAUAAGAAUUAGUGGUAAAGAAUGGGUCAAAAGCUGGUCUUCGCAACAUAUCAUAGCAAUUAAAAAGGCCUAAAUUUGUGGAAGUUGUGAUUGACAAAUGACAAUAGAUCCUUACUUUUUUCAGCAUAUUUAUUUCGUGGGCAUUACCUUGCGGAAUCAUUCUUUUGUGCAUAUGUUUAUGUUUUAUAAGUAUUUAUAAAAACAUAAAUGGUAUGUAGAAUUAUAUAAUUUUUUUUCGCUGUUUAGGUAUUUUAAUGGAUUAAGAUUUUCUCAUGAACUGAACUUGUAUAAAAUUUACUUCAUUCUUUAGUAUAGAUGUCCAUAUUUUAUAAAUAUCUAUAAAAAUAUAAAUCGUAUAUAGAAUUAUAUGAAUUUUUUUCAUUGUGUAUGUAUUUUAACGGUUCAAGGUUUUCUCAUGAACUAAACUUUUAUAAAUAAUUCACUUGAGUAAUUGUUAGUUAAUAAAUAAACAAAUAAAAAUAAUAAAAUCAUAUCCAUAUGCUGAAAGACGUAUGAUAUGUGAUACUUAUAAACUCCGGAGAGCUCAAAUAAGAAAAGAGGGUACUGAUUCAUUUGUAACAGCAAGCUGAAAUCAAACAUAACUGAACUCUCUUGCAAGAUUACCAUAAUAACAUAACAAGGAAACAGAGAUGAUCUCUAGAGGGCUCGGGCUGAGGCAUAAAUAACAUCGGCAGGCCCUAAUGGGCUCAAUUUUUAACUCCUAAUGAGUGGAGCUAUUGGCACCCCUACAUUAUUCUUACAAAACCCCACUUUAAAUAAAAUUACAAUUAAGGACAAUUGAAAAUUAAACACAUAUAAAUUUUUUUCCAUCAAAUUACUUAAUUCAUAAUCAAUCCUUUUCAAAAAAAAAAAAAUCUAUAUGUUACUUCUUAUUUAACUAAAAUAAAUUAUACAAAUUUAAAAUAAUUUAUUGUUCUCUUUUGAUUUCUUAUUGAUUAAAUAUUUUUAUACUUAAAAUUAUAAUUUUAAAUAUGUGUUAUUUUAGCCAAUGAUUAACACUAAAAAACUUAUCACCAUAUAACUUUUUAAUUUAAUUUGUGUGUAGAUUAAUAAUAAAAUUGAAAAUAAUUAAAAAAAUAGUACAAUAAUACUUUGAGUUUCAACAAUAAAACAAAUCAAAUGAAAAUUGAGAAUUUAGAAAAAAUGUAUCUAAAAAAAAGGGUAUUUUCGAAAAUAAAAUGAAUAUAACUAAAAAGGAGGUUUUAUGAGGAGAUGAGAGGGGUGCCAAUCGUUCAACUCACUCCUAAUCCAUAUCAAUUUUAGGGCCCAGAGGAUAUUAAAUCCUGGAAUCAGGCCGAACCUCAAAACAUUAUUUGCAAGCCCAAAUUUGAUGGGAGGCCAAGAUUUAAGUUUUCUUAAUGCUAAUAAUUAUUUUAUAAUAAGCAUUCUGUUGUUGUUAUCAUCUUUUCCAAAACAAAAGAACUAGAAUUAGGUCAACUGAAAUGCGUAUAAUCACCACCAUUAAACUUCGUGACAACGAUAUACUCAAAUAUGCGGUUCAUGGCUUACCAAGAAUUGUCUCUUCUUCCAAGCUUGUAAUUAGCACAAAGAAUCUGCACAACUUUAAUUUGAUUCAUAGACCUUAAGCUUUCCAAUAAGUGAGGUACGUGUAUCAACUUCAGGAAAAAGAACUAAAGCUAGCUAGCUACCCUUUUAUCACUUCUGCAGCUGCAGGUAUAUUUUUACUGCACGAAAUUGUCUGCAAAAAUUUCAAAUAUGCUUUAAGUUUUUCACGUUUAUUAAUUUUUCAUGAAAAUUAUUCAUUCUGCAUCAAACUGACCGAAGAUUAAGUACUUGCAACAGAAGUCACUUUGUUAUUAAUUAUUUUUAAUUAAAUAAAUAAUGAAAUGUUCAACACCUAAUAGUCUACCUACCCUUCAAGCUCAGGCCUCUAUUGAUAGCAGAAAAGUUAAGUUACAUGGAACUGAUAACAGUUGGGACUUGGGACAAUAUUUCCUUUUGCUAGCUCCAAUAUUAUUGACAUCAUCUUUUAGGCAUGCAUCAUCAACAAGGGCUUUUAAUUAUAUAGAAAGCAUAGCCUAGAAGCAGAAAAAAGUACUGCUUUUAAUUCUACCCCCAAGGAACGUUGGGGCAAAAGCAAAAGAUCAUCAAUUUAAUUACUAUGAUCACAAUAAAUUCUGUCAUAAGAGGGAAUCUUAUACAUAUGUUUCUGUUGGGAAUGUCAAUGCAUCCCAAAGCAAAGCAAAUUUUUUUUUCUGUUUUUUAACAAAACCAACGUCAAUGUAUGCAAUCAAAAAGAACCAAAAUUAGAAUUACCCUAUAUAUAGGUGCUUUGGUUUUGAUCUUUUGUACUUUUCAAGUUACAGAUUCAGAUCUGAUAGCUAGCUAGCUCAUACAAAACCUUCAAGCAGUGAUCACAGAGAAAUUAAAAAGUCAAUACUGGAACAAGAUUCAUCGUUGAAACGUAUAUAAGAAAAGAAAGGAGCUUAGUUCUUCAUAUAUAGCACAUGAAGAUACAUGAUGAUGAUAGCAUAAUAUUGUUAAUUCAUUUUGUAUAUUUGAUGAUCUCAGUUUUGCUGUUUAGCUUUCUUGAUCUUGUUACCAAGAUCCGCACGGAGAGCCGGAGGAAACAAGGCUUCAAUUUCGUUCGACAGAUCAUAAAGAAUCCUUCUUUGAGACUGAGACUGCACUUUUCGCUUUGUCAGUAUAGGUCGUGAUUUGGGCUUUCUUGGUGCAGCUGGACAUUGAAGCAACACUGGAAUUUGGUGAUCCAAAGACGUUGGAGUCUUGAACCCACUAUCAAAAUCUUCUUGAUGAUCAAAUCCUUCUUCAAUCUUGAAUUCUCCGAAAGAGGGUAUUUUUAUGUUCAAAGAAGCCACCACAAUCUUGCACUCACCUUCUCCUUCAUCGUGAUGAUCUUCUUUGUUAGCAAUAAUUUCACACGGAUCGUGAUCUUGAAAUUCUAAAGUUGAUCUUGCCAAGAAAUCAAUUUCUAGGGCUUUUAGAUCCAACAUCUCUGAAUUUGACACACCCAUGAUGAGAAAAUUCAACAAAACAAAGUAAGAAACAGCCAAAAAAGGGUCUAAAGCAAGAUAGACUCAGAAUAGAAAACCUAGCAAGCUAGCUAACUUUGAGAGAAAAUCAGAAGAGAAGAUAAAUGGUUGAUAAAUAGCAAGCUAGAUACAGAGGUGGGGGCUGGCUUAUUCCUAAGAGAGAAUCAGAAGAAGCCACAUCACAUAUGCUUCUGUCUUUUUGUUUGAUAUCUCUCAAAGCUUGUUUGGACUCUAGCUCUCAAGAGACACUACCUAGCUCUUGAGUCUCGAUGACAGAGAGAGAAUAUAAGCUUUGAAACCAGGCCACUUCGGCGAAGGAUCCAAUGCAGCAUAUAUACACUUACACACUCUCUGCUAAAUUAAAGAGCCACUCUUUCUAAAAAGUCUCUUUCGCUUAAAUCAGCUGUUUUUAAAAAGCUACCAAAAUCUCGUUAAAUUAGGCAUUAGCCUUUUUUUUUUCCCCUUCUGUUCUGAUUUCUCCAAACUUUGAUGCAACAAAGCACGUGCUUUACUACAGGGAUACCAUCUGAUCGACCGCAUGACAUGCAUGUUAUCUUGCAAAGCACUUCUCGCGAUAAUUUGACAUUUAGUUUCUCGCCAGAAAGGCCUUUUCUGAUGAUCAGAAAGUGUCUUGGCUUAAGUUGGCCGCAAGAACACACAUUGUCUGGUGCAUGCCUUUGUGUGUGGCCCAAUGUCAUAUAAUCUCAUGAUUUGGUGCUUAAUAUGAAUCCAAGACCAAGAGGAAGGAGAGAAGAUCGAUCAUUAAUUAGAUAUAUCAAUGAUAACGAAGGAAUGCAAGUUUUAUAGCAACAUCAUUGCCUUUUUUCACUUCUUAUCCAAUAUGUCUGAUGAGAAAUAUACAUAUAUAAAUCAAAUUUUGAAAUGGGUUUUUAUAUAUCUUCUAAUUUUCAUCUUUCAUGAUCCCGUCAAAUCAUAAACAAAAUUGAUCUCACAUUAUCUUGAAGAUAAUCUACCCUGUCUCUUAACUAAUGGGUAAUGAAAACUCGAUUUUCGAAUGUGAAUUUUGGUUGAGCAUGACAAUACACAGCACUAAAAAAACAUUUUCACGUACGAUUAUGUUUGGUUACGUUAUUAGCAUCCCAGUCUUUAUCUUUAGAAGGAUGCUAUCAUCAUAUUAAUUAAUUAUUGGCCAUUUUGGACUAUAGAGAGCUGUUUUGGCUGCAUUUUAACAGAUUUUUUUCACAUGUUUCCCGCUCAAGGCCGGCAAUUUCAAGUUUUGUGUCCUACGCAACAUUGUCUCUCACGGCAGGCCAUUUUGAAUUCUAGACUUAGGAUUUUUCCCUCUCUUUUAAACGGACUGUGGAGAGUUGGAUUGGAGACGAUAACUAGGUUAAACUUGCUAUGCUAUAUUAUUUAUUAAUUUAUUAGUAAUGUUAGUUUUUUGUGUUUUACAGCAGAAAUUUGCUGAAACUUUAGAAGAUAGAGUGUUAACUGAAAAAAAUGACGGAUUUCGGAUUUUUGAUUGCAUAUGAUAUAAAAAUAAUGGAUGUUUCUUGUUUGCCAAAUUAACAUUGGUAAAGUUUGCCAAUCUUGAUUAAUUAUAGUGCAUAUGAUAUAAAAAAUUGAUGAAUGUAAUUUUUGUUUACCAAAUUAAUAUUGCGGAAGUAUGUUAAUUUUGAUUAUAUAAUUUUCAGUGCCUUGAAAAAUAAUCUCUACAGAGGACAAGUCAAUAAACUCCUAUCGUAUUAUAUCCUGUGUUUAGUAGUACAUUACAAAAACGAUUAUCAAUAUUAUUCGUAAUCAAUAACAUUCCUAUGGUUAUUUUGUAGCUAGUGUAAUUUGACUGUAAUUGACAACAACAAUUUAAAAAAAAAAAAUUGAAGCAAUAAGAACAUUCGAUAGCAUAAAGAAAAUUAUAUAUAAUACGAGGAACAAUUUCUUCAAAAGUUCUAAUUUUGAUCCACAAACUCUAUGUAAAUGAUCCGCAACUAUUUUAUCGUGGAACGGUUUAUGUUCUUCUCAUGAAAUGAUAAUGUGAGGAUAAGAAUGAGUGCAAUUGUCUUCUUGAGCGGAAAGUGAGGGACCCAAAUGGAGAUUGCUUGGAUUUCAUCACAUUAUAUAUUAGACAUUACAUGGGUAUGCAGAUUUAUCAAGGAUCCCACUUUCCUGGCCUCUGUUUUCUCUUUUGUUCCUCAAUCUUUCUUUUAUUUAUAAAUUCACCACAUAGAUUUCACAAAUCUCCCAAACUUUUCCCAUCAUUAAUCAUUUGCCCUUUGUAAAAUAUUAAUGUUAGAAUUAUUUAAUUUAUAAUAGUGUUGUUUUAAAAUUGUAAUCCAAAAAUAAAAUAGACAAAUACAUUUACUAAUUUAUUUGAAGAGAGGAAUGUGAAACAAAAAGUUGAAAAAUAUAUAUCUAAUGAAAGGAUUGAGCUAUGGUGCAACGGGUGCACCAAAUCAUUAUUAUGAUGUUUUCAAUUACUUUUCUUCACGAAAAACAAAAAUAUCAUUUACAUUUUUCACAGUUUUUAAAAAGCAAUGUGAAACAACCUUUGACUUUUCAUUCACUUUGAUCAAUUUUGCAUUUAAAAAGAAAUACCAUAAUUUUUCAUGUUAAUUUUUUCAGAGGGUCUCAUGUGAUAUAACCUUAUAUCAAGUAAAACACAAGAUUAAGAGAUUAUAUAAUAAUUUAUAUAUAAAUAAUUAAAUUAUAAUCAUACACUAUUUUACAUAUACAUUAUUAUCAUAAAAGAGUUCAGUGAGAUCCAAAUUCAUUUUUGUCUACAUCGGUUGCAUUUCACGCAUUACACAAUUAAGUUAAUUGAAUAGGGAAAAUAACUGAAUUCAAAUGAAAAUACGCGAAAUAAUAGGGGGCCAAAAGAACAAAAGCUCUAGCGGUUGAUACGCCUUGAUUAUAAAAAUAGCAGCAAGAAUCUCAGCUAUUGACGAUAUACGAAUUAAUUUAAUUAAGAAAUGAAAACAUUCUGAUUAACAAAGGAAAUAAAAGGGAAAUGAUAACGUGGGGUAUGAUAGUUAAUAAUUAACAAUUAAAUAAAUAAACAAAAGUGAAGAUACACAAACACACACUCUCAUGGCACAUAAUUGCAGCUCAUUCUCAUGCUCAUGCUUAAUGAUUUUGCUUCCCAUUCACGAUCAUCAUGCCCCACCUCCAACAAUCAUCUCUCCCCCAAUUUCAACUCUUUGCUUCCUACUUUCCGUACUGUUUACUCCAUUUUUUUAACUCCUGUUCUUUCCCGCCAUUUUCGUUUCUACAUCUGAAUUGUUCUCAUCAUUUUUAGUAAGGUUCCCAAAGCCUAAAAGGAAAAUAAUAAAAUCAUUUUGUAGCAUAUACCUACACAUCAAAACGAGAAAUGCAUACAAAGCUUAGAGUGCUAAUUUUAAGAGGACAGUUCAGUUGGUUUGACUUCUUAGAGCAUUUCCAAAAGACUCUAUUAAUUUUAGUUUUUAAAUAUCUAUUUGUUUACCUAUGUGGCAAAAAAAAGAGUGAAAAAAUAUGUUAUUCUCCAAAAGACUCUUUAAAUAUAAAUAAGUUAAUAUUACUUUAAUCAAAUAAUUAUUUUUUCAAAGGAAAAAUAAAUGGUAAUUAAAGCACUUCUCUCUUUCUCUCUCUCCCCAAUAAAAAGUAAUAAAAUAUGAAUUGAAGAAGAAGAAAAUAAUUCUACCAAAUUGAAGAGAUGAGUUAUUUCUUAUUUGAAGAAUCUUAAUUGAAAUAUCUUUUGGAACCUUAAAUACUGAUGUGACUCUUCAAAUAAAUAAUAAAAUACUAAUUUGAAAAGUUGUUUAGAGAUGCUCUUACAUUUGUAACUUAAAAGUAACAUUAAUGGUUAUGGACAACCCCCGGCCAUAGUAGUUGAAAACUUCUAAUAAGUUUUCUGCUAUUGAUAAUUACAACCCUAAAAUUUUCACUAUUAACUCCCCCAAUCAUGAUGUUUUAUAUACAAUGCACGAAACAUUAUGAGAGUUAGUAAUGAAAACUUAAGGGUACGUGCAACCAAAAAUUUCGAGUUUUCAAUGGUGGAUGGAAGGUCAUUGUGCCUAAGAGUGACUACAUUGUAGACAUGCCAAGAUAUGUGGAGGGGUAUGGUAAAUUUGAAUGUGCAUACAGUAUCAAAUAGUUUAAAAUGCAUGUGCCGGAUCAGGUUAAAAUUAGAAUGAGUUGAGGGAAGUGCAAGUACGUACGAGCUAAGUAUGUAAUAUCAAUUUUUGCAAGACAAAGCUUAUUUAUUUAUUUUUUUAUUUUGAAUAUCAAUGUUCUUGAUUCGGAGAGAGUGUAGCUACUUGCAGAAGCUCAAGCUUCAGGCUUCACUUCGUUUAGGGAAAGCUUUAGCAUGGGAAGUAUUUGCCUCACAACCCGUUCUCUUCUUCUUUCCAACAUAAACCAUGCAAUUAUGCAAACGUACUUUACAAACGAAAGUGAUUGGGCCUGGCCUCACUUGUAUGGAUUUCGUAUCAAUCACUUGAGCCGCGGGCUCACAGUAAUUUGAAUCUCCGUUUUCUACUGGGCUUCGGCUUUUUAUUUUACAAUCCAUCCACGGGCUGUAUUAAAUACACAACACCAUGAAAUUAAAGGUUGUAGUUAGAACUUCUGUUAGUAUAUCUAUCAACAAAGUCUGCUCUACGUCUGUGAGUAUUCAUUGAUGGAUCCAUAUGUCCAUAAGGCAAAUGCUAUGUUACAAUUAAUGUAACAUACACACUCAACAACAACCACACAAAUUGUGUGGGUCCAUCAUUUGUGUGGUUGUUGUUGAGUGUGUAUGUUACAUUAAUUGUAACAUAGGGGCUCCCCAUACAUAAUGGUUAUACAAUUUGUUAUUGUUUACAAGGGUAGUUUGGUCAACAAAUUUUGAUUAAUGAGUUCUGAAAUAUAAACUUUUUUUUAAUUGUUUCAUUAGGCUCGCUUUGUGUUUUUUUUUUUAAAUCACUUUGAAUAUUUUUUAGACAAACGUUAAUAACAUUUACAAUUAAAAAAGAUCAUAGAUAUAAGUAUCCCUUAAAUUAGUUUUAAUGACACUAUUUAGAUAUAGGUAAUGUUAGGGAUACUAAUAAUUGAGUCUAACUUAAGUCUCAAAUGAUGUGACAUUUAUAUAUUGAAGAAUAAAAUAUUAAUUUUGCCAGUUACCAAGUUUAUUAUUUAAGAGAUAAAUGCUAAAUAACAAUUGAGAUAGAAUCUUUUAUCAAAUAGUGAAUUUCAUAAGUGAUAAAAUUUAAUGUUCAACCCUCCACCACAUCAAUUGAGACUCAAUUAUUGGAAUUAUUAGUAUUAUUCUUUAGAUAUUGGUCUAAACUAAAUUGGAUUUACUUUCAAAUAUUUGGAAAAAAAAAUAACUCUUAACUGAUGGACAUGGGACACUUUAAAGUUUAAAUAAAAAUUCUUAAUCUUAAUAUAAAUAACUCUAUAAUUGAUUAUUGGACAUAUAUCAUAAUAUUUAAUUUUUAAUUUUUUAUCCAUCAAGUAACAAAACGGAAAAAAAAAAGAGAGUAAAAAAAGAACAAAAAAUGGGGGCAAAAUCGUAAUUGCACUUCGCGUUUGACAAAAGCUUCGUGACCAGCUGUAAUUACGGGGAGAACCAGAUCACAGGCACACGCGUCUCGACAAGCUUCAAUAUAGAAUAAAAAAAUAACGAACGGCCAGGAUGUAAUACCGAAAACUGAGUUGUUUUAUAAAGCGAUUUUCAUUUGCGGUAAGUUUCAUUUGGACGUGGUUUCAAUUUCAUUUCUUAAAUUUUGAAUUGAACCCCAGGGCCAAGGGCGGGCUGCUGAGAUCGGAGUAUCCUCUCCCCAAAUUAUCUGUUAAUCUUACCGUAAUUUUUUCAAUUGCUCUGCUCAUUCUUUCUAUUUUAGCUUGGCUGUUUAAUCUGUUUGAUUCUUCAGAAAAUGUGAGAGAAAGGAACAUAAAAUUUCAGAUUCCGGACUCCCUCGUUCAUAUAGCUGCCUGAUACGGAUCUGUUUUUUAAUAAUCAUGAUUUGAUCUGGAUUUUAUGAUUCUUUGUGAUUAAUGUGCUGCCGAUGGAUCUAUAAUGUUCGUGUUUUGUUCUUGUUUGCUUUCUUCAUUGUGGAGCAGGAACUGAUGAUUGAAUUAUAUGAUUAUUUCUUGUUUGAAUCAUUUUACUAUAAUGUGUUAAGCAUCAAAGGAGAGAUUGUACUUUGUUUCGAUUUUUUGCCAUGUCUGGUUUAAGAUUUUUAGUUUCUCCAUGACGUUAAAAAUUUCAAAUCUCGAAAAUUAAAACUUAUGGUUUAAUUACAUUACUUAUCAAUUGUGUUCUGUAUGCAUGAGCAUUGAGAAAUUUUUACAUAAUUUUGUUUUUGUGGGAGUAUGGGAGAGAGUUGGUUUGUCAUCUUUUGAUGUGAACAAUUUUUCUGUUCUAUAUAUAGAGUAAGUUAGAAAUUGUGUAGAUCAAAGACUCAAAUUGCUCAUUGAUUGCUGGAAUUUAUUAUUGAUGUCUAUGUUCCUGCUUUGUUUUGUUUUUGUUAAUUCCUGUUCUAAUUGUGAGUCAUUACUUACUUAUUCCAGCUGGUGAUAGAAGAUGGCAGACGCUGAGGAUAUUCAGCCACUCGUCUGUGACAAUGGAACAGGAAUGGUUAAGGUAACAGUGGGAUGCUUAAUCUUCAAUUUUCUUUCACAUAAUUGUCAUUCUGAGCUCUUUUUGAUUUUAUUUCAUGGUAUCUGAUAUUAUUUCAUUCUGAGCUCUCUGAUAUUUUAUUCAUGAUGCAUUGUCUUUUUUCUCAGGCUGGAUUUGCUGGUGACGAUGCUCCAAGGGCUGUGUUCCCUAGCAUUGUAGGUCGCCCACGCCACACUGGUGUAAUGGUUGGCAUGGGUCAAAAAGAUGCCUAUGUUGGGGAUGAGGCUCAGUCCAAGCGUGGUAUUUUAACACUGAAAUACCCAAUUGAACAUGGUAUCGUGAACAACUGGGAUGACAUGGAGAAGAUCUGGCAUCACACCUUCUACAAUGAACUCCGUGUGGCCCCAGAAGAACACCCCGUAUUGCUCACUGAAGCACCUCUCAACCCGAAGGCCAAUCGUGAGAAGAUGACCCAGAUUAUGUUUGAGACCUUUAAUACUCCUGCUAUGUAUGUGGCCAUCCAGGCGGUUCUCUCCCUUUAUGCCAGUGGUCGUACAACUGGUAAGUGUUUGAUAAUAUGACCAUCAUAUAUAUGCCAUUAGGUUACUCUUAGGUGUCUCUCUGAUUAAAUGACUUGAACUGGUUUCAAAAGUUUCUACAAUUUGUUUGAAGAUAGUGUUAAAGUAAAGAAGAGUUUGGCUAUCAACUGUUUGGGGAUUGAUGGUAAUGUACGGAUGGUGCUGUUGGCAACUGUAUUUCUGGAAAUCAUUCUUAUAGGUUUAGAUAUAGGGUAGCCGUUACAAGUAUUAGUAAAGAGAAAUUUAAAUAUUUUGAGUAGUCUUGGAAGCAUUUCUGUGACUUCAGAACUUGGGUACAUGAAGCUAUAGAGAAUCUGAAGGAAAGAUGGAUCUGUGUAAUUGAUUUCUUCUGCUUCCAGUCAUGUUAUCAAAAGGCAUGAAAAAAUGAAAAAUCAAGUUUGUCUUGUACUAGUGCUUCUUGUUCAAUUCCUCACUAUUCUUUUGUUUUCCUUCCUCAAUUUUGCAGGUAUUGUUUUGGACUCUGGAGACGGUGUUAGCCACACUGUCCCCAUUUAUGAGGGCUAUGCCCUUCCACACGCUAUCCUUCGUCUUGACCUGGCAGGUCGUGACCUUACCGAUGCACUUAUGAAAAUCUUGACUGAGCGUGGCUAUUCCUUCACUACCACCGCUGAACGUGAAAUUGUGAGGGAUAUGAAGGAGAAGCUGGCAUAUAUUGCCCUUGAUUAUGAGCAAGAGCUAGAAACUGCAAAGAUCAGCUCUGCAGUUGAGAAGAGCUAUGAAUUGCCUGAUGGGCAGGUAAUCACCAUUGGUGCUGAGCGUUUCCGCUGUCCUGAAGUCCUUUUCCAGCCAUCCAUGAUUGGAAUGGAAUCUGCAGGCAUUCACGAAACCACAUACAACUCCAUCAUGAAGUGCGAUGUCGAUAUCAGGAAGGAUUUGUAUGGAAAUAUUGUGCUCUCUGGUGGUUCAACAAUGUUCCCUGGCAUUGCUGACAGAAUGAGCAAGGAAAUUACUGCAUUGGCCCCAAGCAGCAUGAAAAUUAAAGUGGUGGCCCCACCUGAGAGAAAGUAUAGUGUCUGGAUUGGAGGCUCCAUCUUAGCAUCUCUCAGCACCUUCCAGCAGGUACGUGUAAUUAUGAUGGUCACAAUAACGGUUGAAAUCGUAGAUUGUGGGAAUGGAAUAUUAUCAUUUCUAAUCUUGUUUAUAAUUUUUGUUCCACUGAAGCCUCUUUGCAGGAUGUAGUUCUUGAUAUAUUGUAUUUCUGUUCUUAUAUUCCUUGUUUAGGAACAACAACAGGCACGACUAUGGCUGAACUGUGGUAUUAUUUUCUAAUAAUCCUAAUGUGAUUUCAUUGUUUAUGUUUUGGUACGCAGAUGUGGAUUGCGAAGGCUGAGUAUGAUGAAUCUGGCCCAUCUAUUGUGCACAGGAAAUGCUUCUAAUUCUGUGUGAUGGGAUAGUGGAAGCAAAGUUAUGUUUUCUGCAAAGUUAUUAUUGUACCUUUGUUUCUUAUGAAUUUCAUGUCAUGUAUUGUUGAAGCAAUUAGCUAAGAGAGCAUUAGAGCAGAUUGCAGCGAGUUUCAAAUUCUUUCAUUCUUAUUUUCUGUUACCGGUUGUUGAACAGCUUUUGUUCAAUACUAAAUUUGAAACGGUCUGCAUUUUGUUAUUAAUCUGGAUUUAUAUGCUUCUACUCGGAAGGAAAAAUUUAUAUUGUUUUAUCUUUAGGGUUCCAAUUAACUUUUCAUUCACUAGCUAAAAAUCUUUACCUUUUGGAUGUUUGAUUUCAUUUUUCUUAUAUGAUUAUUUACCUUAAGCGAUUAUGAGGUGCCUUUGGACAGAGAAUGCAACUCAAAAUUAAGAUUUUCUUUGGGAUUGAAGUGCUUUGUCUUAAGCUUUACCUUAAAAGGUACAGUGUAAAAAAAAAAAAAAUUAUGAAAUAUAAAUUAAUAAUAUGUAGAAAAUAUAAAUUUUAAAUAAUAAUUUUAAUAAAAUUAUUGAAGAUAUAAUAAAUUAUUCAUUAUACAAGUAGAAAAUUAUAUGAAGAUAUCUUUUAGGUUAUAACAAUUAGUGUUUAUUAAAUAUUUUAAUACUUUAAUUUUUAAGUUAUAUUUGUUCAACUUAAUUUUUAAGUUAUAAUUAUCCAACUUUAUUUUCCAACCUUAUUUUCUAAAAGAUAUUUGGAUUAUUCCAAUGCGGGUUGAGGAGCUGGUUGGAAAAACUAUUUCCGUACAUGAUAUAUCAUAACAAAAUAUGUGCCUAGAUGUUAUAACCUCAUUUGGUUGUUUGACUCCACUAAUUUUGGUUUUUACUCCACCAAUUUUGGCGAGGAAAAAGAUGAAGGUGAUCUUUCCAAAAGGCGAUGGGUGAUUUCUUUGUUUAGAUGGCUCUUUCAUUUAAUCAUCUUUCCCCUUUUGUUUUAUAAUUAAAAUGUUAUAUCAUUUCAAUUUCAAACUAGUUUGAAAUUUGGAUGCAACGUCCAAAUUUAAUUGGGAUCUGCGAGUGGUUUGGUUGCUUUAAAAUCUUUUACUAUUAAUUUUUGGGAAAAUUAAAAUUUGGAGGCCAUUUAUAAUUUUUUUAAAGAAGUAUCUCUAAAUUACUUUAAUCAAAACUUUAAAAUUGUGGUUAAAAUCUUGUCGAGCACCUUGAGUGAAGAAAUUUUAAAAUGCAACAAAAGUAUUACUUCAAAUAUAUUAUAGAAUUUUUCUCUCGAAGUGAAUUGCUGAUUUAGCACAUAUUGGGUGCGGCAGAAGAAGGAUAAAGUGUUUUUAAUUAACAUUCAAAUACGAACUUGGAGUGGUCGUUUGAACUUGAUUUAAUGACGAAUAAGAUGAUGUAUUAGUAUUUUUAUCUAAUUGACUAUUAUGUUAUGUGUUACAUGUGUAACAACGAAUCUGCAAAAAAAAACAUGCACGUCAGUAUGUAUAUGGUCUCAGUCUGAGAGACAAAGGAGAUGAAAAGUUGACUAAAAUUAUAGGUGACCCAAAAAGUUUAGCUUGUUCGUUAAUUUCCUUUCAAUUUCCUUUGCUUGUUUUAUUUAACAGCGUCACGAAUUUGAUGAUACACAUGAUAAGCUCGACGACUAUCCAUAAUUCCAUGCAAGACUCUACUGAAUCAAUUAUGUGUGUUAGGUAGUGCCAAAAUUCCUAAUGACAAAGUAAAUACUACCACUGUGGCCUGUGGGCCCCCUUAAUUUGCUAAUCUGCAUCUUCUUGAUUUUUUUUUUUUUUUACACGAGACUAUUGCUCAAAUUACAACUCAUAUUACAUGAAAAUAUAACUGAUAUUUACAAAUCAGACUAUAACUGGGACCAACAUACAUCAAUACUAAUGGAGCGCUGCCCAGAUUUUAACCCUCUCAAAUAUUCGAGGAAUGUCUACUCCUCACACUUGGGUAAGGAAGCAGACUGCCUUAACUCGCAUCUUCUUGACUUAAUUGGUCCAUUAACAACGCGUCAAACAGCACACCAUGUGUACAGUAAUGGACAUAAUUAUGGAUUAAAUAGCAGACAUUUUCACACAGUUAUAUUUGUUUAUAUAAAGAGAGAGAAAGUUAGUGCAUAAAAGUAUGGUUAAAAUAUCAGUAAUCACUCUUCACAUUAGUGGAUUAUGAUUUAUGAUUUUCUUUUUGUUAUUAUUAUUAUACUGGAUGAAAUUAUCAUGUGUAGAUAUUUCUAUUUUUAUAAUUCGGUCUGUAAAAUAAAACUCUUUCUAUAAAAAUUAUUCGAAGAGGAGAAAAAUUAUAAAUAUUUAAAUAAUAAUUAUGGGGUGCUUUUCCAUUGAGAAUUUGAUAAAUUUUUAAAUAAACGUGGAUCUCCAAAUAUAUAAAAGCAUAUGCUUGAGAUUAUUGCGUUUUUACUUUCAAAGCAUACAGUUAAAAGUUAGAACUCAUAAGCCGUAGUCCUAGUGGAAGAAAAAUUAUUAUUAUCAUUAUUAUUAGUACAGAACCCAAAGUCAAGACAAAAGUCAAGCACUCAACGGAAGCUGAGCUUCAUUUUCGUAGAAACUAUAAAAUUAAUGAGGUACCAAGGAAAGAAAAUCUCACUGCUUUUCUUUAUUCGCUGCCCAACUUAACCAUCACAUGUAUGCGUCAAUGUCAUGACUCACCAAUAAUAAUACCCACCUGCGUAACCCGAACCCGAACCCGGACCGGACUCUACCAUUCCUUCAAUGGAGGUUCUAAGACCGCCGCCACAACACAGGCCGACCCACGACCCUGCCCGGUUCAUGAUCGAGCGGAAGGUAGCGGUUCCUUCUCAACUGCCGGAGAUUGUUGAAGAGGAAGGAGGUGGCGAGAAAGUUUACGUUGCCCUGGGGAAGUGUGUAGAGAAAGGCUUGAGCUUGCUUCAUUGGACGCUUCAACGGUUUGGAAGUAGCAGAGAGAUUUGUAUUCUUCAUGUUCAUCAACCUUCUCCUGUUAUUCCCACUCUCUGUAUGUGUUUAUUUUAAUGUUAAGAUAAGAAAAGAAAAGAAAAGAAAAAUAAUUUUUUUUUAGCCAUUAAUGUGUUAAAAAAUUAAACCUUUUAGCUUUUGUUCCGGUUUUUGAGACUUGAACUGUAAAGGGGAUCAGUUAAUGAAGCUGUUUGAGCAUGUAAAUUUUGUAAUUUUAUUUUAUUUUGUAGGAAAUAGUAGCAAGUUUUGAGGAAUAUGAUUUUGAAAUGAUAUUGUGUCUAUGUGUGUUUGUUGUGUUAUGAUUUGCAGUGGGGAAGUUGCCGGCCAGUCAAGCUAGUGCUGAAGUGUUGUCUGCAUUUAGAGCUGAAGAGAGACAGAAAAUGAAGAAGCUUUUAGACAAUUACUUGAGAAUUUGUGUUGAAGCAGAGGUGAUCUUGAGCUUCUCUUUCUCAAUAUCUAUAAGUUGUUUCGAUAAAUAUUGGCUGUUCCACCAUGUUGAUUCCCUGUUUUUUUCUUAAUUAAGGCAUAAAGGAAACAAGUAAUAAGCCCCGUAGAGAUUAAAACCAGUUAAGUUCAAUAUUUUGUUCAUUUGGGUUCGAUCGCGUCUUAGUGCUUUGAUUCAAGUAUAAUGAUACAGACAUCUUUUGGUUGGAUGAGAUGCUCGAUAAUAAUUCUUACUUUAUGAAAAGAAACUUAAAUAUUUGCUAGGAUCACUUUGUUAUUUUGUAGGGAAAUCUAAGGAAUACAGUUAAUUUGUAGGUGAAAGCAAGGAUCAUUACAACUGAAGCUGACAAAAUACAGAAAGCAAUUGUGCAAUUAAUGAACAUACAUGGUAUUCAGAAGCUUGUAAUGGGGGCUUUUCCAGACAAGUAAGUCGUUUAUUGAUCAUCCGAAUCCAACCAUUCUUUAUUCAUUGGUUUAUAAAUGUUCGAAUAUGCCUUUAUUCUGCAAUUUGGUGCUAUUUUGAGACUUCUUUGAUUAUCUCCCGAUUUGGUGUAGAACGUAAUAAGAGCCCUGUAGUCGUAUACCAUGUCUCCUAAGAUGUUUUUUCUUCUUCUUGUUUGUUGUUUUCCAUUUUUCAUCUGGCUCUUAACAUAAUGUCUCGUUACAGUUGCAUGAAGGUGAAAAUGGGCUCUAGAAAAGCAAGCUAUGCUGCAAAAAAUGCUCCCAUGUUCUGCGAGAUAUGGUUUGUUAACAAAGGGAAACAUGUCUGGACAAAAGAAGCUUCUGAAAGCCCCAAUUCUUUUCUACCAUUUUGUGGAGCAGAGACUAGGAGUGCAAAAAUGUUAAGGUCUAGGUCAUUGGAGAAUUGUAAUGGUACUUCAUUGUUUAACCCAGAAAGCAUUCUUUCCAGGUCUGCUACAACUUUAACCCAUGUUGGAAUUACUGACUGGGUUCAAAGUGAUCCAGUUCACAUGGUAUUUCCUUCAUCACCCACUAUAUCUUGUUCAGAUAUGAAUUUAUUUAGUCCAAGAAGUAGUAGCGCUGGCUCAGGAUACAUGUCUGAGAAAAGGGAAUCCACAGAUUCCGAUUCAAAGGUUGAGGAAGACCCUCUAUAUGUUCAGCAUAGAGAAGUAAGCAUUAAAGCUGAAGAAUUAAGGAACAGUGCUUUUGCAGAGUUUUUAAGGCGCAAAAAGUUGGAAUCAGAAGCUAUGGAAGCCAUUGGCAAGGUAUAUCCAUGCUUAAGGAACUUGUACACAUCUUAUUUGUAUUACACUACCAGAUUUUGAGGGCAAACUUAAUGAAGAAUGUGUUUCACCUGAAUUUAUACGUGUUCUAUUCUUGACGUUGUAUUUCUUUAGUAUUAAAGAAUUUGGAGGGAGAAAUUGAGGGAGAGAAGAAAAAGAAAAGGAAGAAAUGAAAGGAGCUAGGGAGUGUCAUCACAUGCAUUAUAUAAUCAUUAACGAGUGAAUAUUUUCCAUUUUUCUUUUCCUAUUACUUCAGGUCAAAGCUUUCGAAUCUGCCUAUGCUCGUGAAAUGCAUCUCCGGAAGGAAGCUGAGGAUGCACUUCAAACUACAAUACAGGACCAAGAAAAGCUCAAGCAAGAGAAAGCUUUCGUAACUCAGGAGCUGCACAGGACCAUGAGAAAUGUUGCUCUCUUAAAUAGUCGUGCACAGGAAGCAAACCGUAGACGUGAUGAAGCAACUGGAGAGUUGAAACUCAUCCAAGCAUCCAUUGCUACUUUGCAGCAGGAGAAGCAAAGAAUAAGAAGGCAGAAAGUGGAAGCAGUGCGCUGGCUAGAGCGGUGGAGAAGUCGUGGGCAAGCUGGAGCUGCAAAUUAUGAUGGGUUCAUUGGGUUGGUAGAAGAUUUGCCUGAGUCAGCUGAGUUUUCAUUGGCAGAUUUGCAAACUGCAACAUGCAAUUUUUCUGAAAGCUUCAAAGUUGGGCAGGGAGGAUUUGGCUGUGUCUACAAGGGAGAAAUGUUGGGUAGAACUGUUGCCAUAAAGAUGCUUUAUUCUCAUAACAUGCAAGGGCAGUUAGAGUUUCAACAAGAGGUUGGCUUCUCUGUCUCUCCCCUUCUCCAAACUCUUUAGUUUCUAUUCUCAGUUAUAGGAAACCUUGAGGAUUUUAAAAUAUGACACUGGUUGUGCAAAGUAGCCUGUUUCUAAAGUGUCUGUGCAGUUGCGCCACAGACCUUGCAUCAAUUGCUAACCCCUUCGGGGUUGGCGAAAGAACCAGCGAGCACUGUGUCACUUGGUGAUAUGGUCCUAUGAAAAGUUUUCUGGUUCAUUAACAAUUAUUUUUGUGCAUAUCCAAAAGAUGCAACAAGAUCAUAAUGUGCCAAUAUUUAUUUGAGUAGAAGAACUAGCCAUCAAAUGUUCCAUUAUGACGUGAUUCCACCCGGGGCAUAAGAUUCUGCAGUAAGAGUUGCAACUCAGAAAAUGCUCUUAUGUAUCCUGCUUUGAUAGGAUUGCCUGGUAACUAAAUGAGAUAAAAAAAUAUGUAUCUAUUUAUAAUUUGUGGUUGCAGGUUCGAGUUCUUAGCAAACUGCAGCACCCUCAUCUAGUGACUCUGCUUGGCGCAUGCCCAGAAGCCUGGUCCCUUGUAUAUGAGUAUUUGCCCAAUGGUAGUCUCCAAGACCGUCUUUUCCGUAAAAGCAACGUUUCUCCCUUGUUAUGGAAGGAUCGAGCUCGGAUUGCAGCUGAAAUAGCUAGCGGCCUUUGCUUUUUGCACUCAUCCAAACCUGAAAAGAUUGUCCAUGGUGAUUUGAAACCACAAAACAUUCUUCUAGACUCUGAACUCAGCAGCAAGAUAUGCGAUUUUGGCAUCUGCCGGCUGGUAACCGAGGACACCCUUUAUUUGCCCAGUUUUCAUCGGAGUACUGCGCCAAAGGGUUCUUUUCCAUAUGCAGAUCCAGAGUACCACAGGACUGGAGUCCUAACUCCCAAGUCCGACAGUUACUCCUUUGGGUUGAUAAUCCUACAGCUACUUACUGGAAGGCUGCCAGUUGGGUUAGCAGGUGAAGUGCGAAGAGCUGUGUCGUGCGGGAAGUUAUCAUCCAUUUUGGAUCCAUUAGCUGGAGAUUGGCCUACGUUUGUUGCAAGGCGUUUAGUGGACCUGGGAUUGCAAUGCUGUGAAUUGUACGGUAGGGAGCGACCCGAUAUCACACCAUCUCUGGUAAAGGAAUUGGAACAGCUGCAUGUUGCAGAGGAACGACCGGUUCCAUCAUUCUUUUUGUGCCCCAUUCUUCAGGUGUGUUAUCACUUGUGUAUAAGUGGGUUAAUAAUACAACAAUUUUAAUUAUCAAGAGCCUUCUUGAUUGGAAUUAGCUAAUUAACCAUUGAGUGGAUAGUAACAGAUUUAGUUUAGCUUUUAAUAAUUUUGUUUACAAUGCCUAGCUUAAAUUAGUUGCAAUCGAGCUCUGCUUCCAUGUUUGGACAUGCUUAGCUUUUGCAACAGUAGGGCUCAACUUUCUUAGCGAAAGUAGUUGUUCUGCUGCCAAGCCUGCCAUAGACAUAAUGACUGUUACCCCAGAAAACUCUAUUAUAUAGCACUUUUUUUCAAAGUAGGAUUUUGGGCUUCUGGGCAGAUAUUUAUUAGUCCUACUUGUGCUUUCUGAGAAUUAAUAUGUCAUGAGAGAUACUUUAGGCGCGAUCUAAACAGACUGUUGAAGCUGGGUUAGCGUCUUUGCUGCUAAUAGUUAAAACUCUGAAUUAUGCUAUACUAUUCUCAUUUUGUUCUUUGAUGAGUAUGAAGAUGCCAUGUCAUGAUCAUGGGGAGCUGUGAUGAAUGUUCAGCUUGUUUGCUUCCUGUGUGCAACUACAACUUAUUAUACCAAUGCAGUUUAUGUAUGGGCUGGUUUGCUUUCAGGAAAUAAUGCAUGACCCUCAGGUGGCAGCAGAUGGAUUCACAUAUGAAGGGAAAGCCAUUCGUGACUGGUUGGAAAAUGGCCGUGAAACUUCUCCUAUGACCAAUUUGAGACUCAGUCACUUGCAUCUAACUCCCAAUCAUGCUUUGCGGCAUGCGAUUCAAGACUGGCUGUGCAAAUCUUGAAUACCCAUGAAUUCAUAUAUGUAUGUAGUUUACAUGUUAUUAGUGUGUAUAGAGUUGCAUUACAAGACAUUCAUGUGUGUCCAUUGUAUAUCAUGCAACUAGUGUGCUUAUUCAGGAAUAGCCUCAUUCUAUACGAAAGAAAAUCAGAAUAUCUGAAGUGCAAUUUGUAAUAGUUUGUUGAUAUUCUAUGGUGAUCUGAAUACGAAGUUACACUCUUAUCAAUAGAAAGACCUCUAGAAGUGCUUAACCAACAUACUUUGUAUGUAAAUACUAAGCAAGCACAACUGGCUGUUGAACUACAUAACACAUGACAGCAGAAAAACCUAACAAGAAAAGCUUCAUUGUUUUUGUAAAUCUGCAGGCAUCAUCGGUGCUUCAUUCAGAUCAGUUGAAUUCAUCAACAACCUUGCAAGAUUCCAUCUCUUGCAGAAAGCAAAGAUGCAUUAGUUUGAUUCUCAGUUUCACUGAAGGGAUGAUCAUCCUCUAUUAAAUUUCCAAUCUGAUUUUCAUCAUUCUUGCUUUCUAUAAGAGGAAUAGAUUCUCCUGUGAUAUGCCAUCCAUGUGACUCUUCCUUGCUAGGAACCAUAUUUUCUUUGAAACUUGUUUGAGUUUUGGGAUUCCGAAGGACCUCUUCAUCAAUGCAACUACCCCAAGAGCUUGAAUUCCCAGCUCUCUUGGCGGGUUCAAAACUUGACUCCUCACUUCUGUGCUGUACUUUCUCAACUUUCUGAAUCAAUCCUCCUUCAUUCUCAAAUGGUAGCUGAUUUUCUUCAUUUUCAAAGUUAGUGAACUGAGAGUUACAUCUAUCAAAUGUUCCCCGGGACGAUUCCCGAAGAAUUCCUUUUGCUGAAGAUCUCUGGCAAAAGCUACCAAACCCUUGAAUCCCUCUUGUCAGCUUUCGAGCUCGGUCUCUUUCUUCCUUCAGAAGAGAUCCCUUUUCAAGUAACUUCAAAAUUCUAUCGGAUUUCUUCCUAACAGCUAAACCCCAGUUGAAUCUGCACAUACAUAGUUUUAUUAAGAUAUGACAUUAAAGCUAGUCAAAUGAAACAUCAGAGAAAUCAACGCAUGCAAACCCUUUCUCAUCAAUUAGCUGAAAGCUUCCCAUCUCUCCAAUGACAUCUUUGUCACUCUGAAAUUCAUUUGACACGCUCUCUGGUCCAUGAGUCAGCAAGUGUUCAAGUACAACCAAUGAGUUGUAAGAGACCCUCCAGUUCUUUCUUUCAAAUUUCGAAAAUCUAAUAACAUCAAUUAACACGCACACAAUGUUAAAAAUAUAAACUCAGAUAAAUGUUGUUUACCUCCUUGAUAAUAAAAGAAAGAAAGAAAAUAUCAAAAAGAAAUCGAAAUGUUAAACAAACCUGUUGUGAAGUAUUGCCACGAUUCGCCAAUAAUCAUCAACCUCAAAAGCAGCCCUUGAUAUUGAUCCCAUGGUCCUUGUGUCCGGCGCCCACGUGUUUCCAUUUGUAGCUUCUUCAGUCAACCUUCAAAACAAUACAAAACCAACACAAAAAUUAUUUCAGAUCAUCCAAGAAACAAAACAGAACUUCCCCAGUAACACAAAAACACAUCAAGUGAUUCAAAUAUUGAAAAGUUAAAAAGAGUCUUUUCAUCCAUAAAACAAACUUACAGUUCUGCAGGUGUGACGUCAGUCAACGCUAAACGAGCAGUUUUGAUCUUCUCCUUGAAGAAAAAGGAAGCUUGCUUCUUGAAUUCAUGAAAAGAAGAAGAACCCGUGUUGCUGUUAUUGUUUUUGCUUAAUGUUGACAUGAUUUAGAAGAGAAAAGUUACAACUUUGGAUCAGCUUUUUCAUAGAAAUGGUAGCCUUGGUAUAGGCAGGAUGCAAAGCGCAACUAAUCCAAUCAAGGCAACAGAAAAAUAAUACUUAAAGUGGGGCUUUGUCUAUGUAAUCAAAAUAUUAUUUUUAUUUUUAAAUGCUACACUAUUUACUGCUAAUUUAAUGGAGAAAAUUUCAAAGUAGCUCUUGUGUGACAGAAACAAUGAAAGAGUCACUAUUCGAGAUUGAAAUUUUCAACUUUCUGAAAAAGAUUCAUUAGUAUUUAAAAAUACAGAAAAGUUUAAUAAAUUAUGGAGGUAAAGUCAACAUCGAAGAAAGUACUGGCUGCUGGGUUUUUUUUCUGAUUUGAAUUUUAAAUUUCUUGAUGCCAAUUAGUAAUAACAAGCUGUGCCAGAUCUUGGGGAUGAGCAGGUUCUUCUGGUGAUUGCCUUCGUUGUUUUUUUGUCACAAAAUAAGAUGUGAUAAAACAGUCAUAAACUAUGUUAUAUUAUAGCAACCUUAGGUUGUUAUUAAUAAUAAUACAAGCAUCAGAAUUUGAAUUGAGGAUUUUAAUUUAGAUGGCCCUUUUUUUUUUUUUUUUUUUUUAUAACACUAUAUAGUUCUUCGAUUUGCUUAUCAAAAGUAAAAUGUGGUAAAGACCUAGGUGUAGGUAAAUUCAGUUUCAAUUAUGUUUUCUCAAAAAAUUAAACCCAGUUUAGUCUAAUAUUUGAAACGGAUUAAUUUUUCUCUUUUUUUUUUUAAUUCAAUUUUUGAAUUUUUUAUUAUUUAACAAUGGGUUUAUAACUUCUAAAUCAAACAUCAAAUUAGACUUUUGUUUAGGAUUGAGGUUGAACAGUAUACAACUUAAAAGUUACAGUAGUAAAGUGUUUGGUAAAUAUUAGUUGUUGUACCUUGUAAGCUAAAUUCAUUUAGUUUUAAACUUGGAUGAUGAAAAAUCUAUUAUAUCUUUAUUAAUUUUUAUUAAAAUUAUUAUUUAAAAAUUCUAUUUUGUACAUAUCAUUAAUUUUUAUUUCAUAAUUACCGUUUUUUUUUUCACAACAGCUGUUAACUUAAAAGUUGUAGCAUCUCAAUAUCAAGCGGGACCUCAAUUGAUAUGAACUUGUUAAGUUAAAAUUAAUAUAAUUUGAAUCAUUUUACCCACCCACACAUAAAAUGUGCUACAUAAAGUAGUAACCUUAGUUUGUUUUCCAGUCGUUGCAACCAAUAAAUUACAUUUUAGAAACCUUGGUAAUUUAUUAUUCUUCAUGUUCAUUUUUCAUCAGCUACAUGUUAUAGUUUUAAUGAGAUUAACAACGUUAAGGGAAUUAAUGUUACAAUAGUAAUGGUAUAUGAUCAGAGUAUGGUAAUUGUUGAAUCUGGUUCGUUAGCUUUGCUUUGAUGAAGAACUAGAUCCUCCCAAGGUUCUCAGCCAAGAUUAAUCAAGAUGCAAUAUCAGCUUAGAUCAGCUUCAGAGAAUCAACUAAACCCAAUAAGACUCGUAACAAAAAAGGAUUAAUAACUGACUCAGAAACCAAAACCAGCAAGAAAACCAAUCACACAAAACAGAGCACAAGCUUUAACGUGGUUCAGCCAUUAAUGGCUUACAUCCACGAGUGAAUUCCUCAGACAGCUUUAUUGAAUGAUUCAAGAAGUUUGUUACAGAGAUUCUAAGAAUAAGAACAAGUAAGACACUUCCUCUCUGAGUUCCCUCAAUCUCUAUUUCACACGAUGACCUCCAAAACCAGAAGGCUGCAGCUUAUAUACCAGUCUUGUAACAGCUCUAACAACCCAGAUUGCACAGCUCCUUGACACGUGUGCUAUGAGUCUGUUAUUUAACAAACUCAGCUUCAGCUAACCAUCACGUGAUGAACCCGUGACUUCACUUAAGUUGAGCAUACCCAAAACGAACUCAUAUGUUGCCGUUUCGGAAUAAGGAUUGGCUGUGCUUCUGACGUGAGCACUUAAAGCUUCUAAACACUACUGGAAACGCUGUCGUUUGCUGGUAAAGGUGUUUGAAUUCACCUUUCAGCCAACAGUAAUAUAUAUGCAUGAUUCAAAAGUCUUUUAUUUUAAGCUUAUAGUUGUAUCGAUUAAAAAAUAAUUUUAAGAUGAUAAUGUAAAUUAUCUUAACAUGAAUAGGACGAGGAGGAAGAAUGGAUUCCCCCGAUGCGCCUCCGGCUCGCCAUUGUACAUAAUAAUAAUAAUAAUAAUAAUAAUUAAAAAAAGAAAUCCACUGAUUUGAAUGAAUAUAAAGAUUAAAUAUCUGAUGAAAAGCGACGUAGAAGCUAAAAUAUUCAAAGCACGACAUUCAUCUUUUGAAUUCUUUAAGGCUUCUUUGGCUGUACGAAGUUGAACGUGUCCACACAUCGCUGCCUUCAUCUCCUAACACGUGUCUCUCCUUCAAAUCAGAUAGCCUUCCCCAUCAAAUGCGUGUGGCAGAAGGCAGUGGAAACAAAUUGGGUUUACCUCUGGAAUGAGCUGGGCAGGUAGGUACAACCCAAAUCAAUAAAAUUCUGAGCCCAAGUAAAAUCACUUUUACGGCCCGUAAAAUACACAUGGCAAAUGCCAGGAGAGAAAAGCCGACUGAUUGGAAGUUGACAGUUGAAAUAAAUAAAAUGGUUUCAUUUUGCGAAAUCUUGAUGCAAUACAUACAAUACUUGCAGUUCAAAAGGUAUAGUAAAUUGGACUGCCCAGAAAUUACUGUUGGGCUUCAUAUCAACGAGGCAAAUGCUUGGGGUAGGCUGAUGCUGCAGAGCUUGACCUUGAACGCAAUGCAAUAUUGGUAUGAAGUAAAUGAAAGUUUUUAAUUGCUGACACCAAUCGCUGAUCUCUUCCCAACUGCAUACAAUGCAUUAACUUCUAAAGUAGUUAGCAGUUACAGGGAGUUAUAUCUGCUCAGGCACAGUCAGGGUCUCAUAAGUACUUUGAUCUUGACUCUUGAGGCUCUUGUUUUGCCAUGUGAAGAGACGAAUGGGACCCAAAAGGGGCUAAGAUUUCUUUUGGUAUUGGUCAGUUUUGAGCAUUUUUAAAGAUGGGAAAUCAUUGUGCUUACCACGGUUUUGACUUAUGACGAUCUUGUCUCUUCAGAAGCUUCACUGCGUGCUGUCUUUGAAGCUCAAAUUGGACAUGUUCGUCCGAUUGCAUUUUUAUUUUAGUAUCCAGUUCUGAUUCUCUGCAAACAUGAAAAUAUCAGAGAACGUGUUGCCCAUAAUUGAUAGCAUUCACUCAAAGGUGUUACCUUGCAAGUGACCAAUCAUCCUCAUCAAAUUUCAAAAUAUUCUCAUUAGAAAAAGCGCCAGUUGAAUUGUAUACAAAGAUGCAGAUGCUGAGAUGACUAUUGUUGCCAAUCCCAUAUGGCAGGCUGAGUUGAAAGCAACUCCAAGAAAGCAAUUGUAGAGAUAAAGACGAACAAAACCCUUUUUGCCAAAAGGAAUAUCAUUUUAUUUAUGGGGAAAAAUUACAAUUUUGCUUUGACAGUAUAAUUAAAAAAAAAAAAAAAAAAAACCAGCUCUUACAACUUUACAAAUCCUCACCACCCAGAACAAUUUUUUUUUUUUUCCACAACUAAGUUUCACUCAGGCAUUCAAUGGAAGCUUAAUUGUUUAUGUUAUAAAGGUGGCCAAGGAAAAAGAACUGCAAAAAAGUGAAUUGCCUGCCCGACUUUUUAGUGGCUGCCUCUGUACCUUUUUCUUCUUUAAUCAGUGGGUUUCUCUACUUACACAAAUGAUCUCCAUAUUCUUCCUUCCAAAGAUAUUACUAUGAUGGAAACAUCAUCAUGGUAUCGCCUUCGAUCCCCUUGAGGUAUUUCAAGUAACUCGUGAAAGUCCAUUCCUGCAAUUAACCAAAAAAUAAAUAAAUAUACAAAUAUUUGGUACCAUUAGAUUCUUGUAGGAAUUAGAUUUUAAUAUGCCUAAUGAUUCUGAUCAUAGCGGGUUUUGAUUAAUACCAGCUUUCUUUGCAGCCCGGAAGAGUACUUCCUCAACCAGAUGCUGCGCUGGAUCCCCCUCUGGUUGUAGCUGGAUGAAAAGUUCAACCUCAGAAACAGCUUCCUUGUUCGUGAAGUAUUGAUAGAGCCCGUCAGAGGAUAAUAUCAAAAACCUGUCUUUCGGUCCUAGUUUAUGGUGGUAUAGAGAUGGUAAACAAUUGAUGUAGGGAGCAGUGCCCUUGUAGUCGAUUCUGAACAUCUCUAGAAGUGCAUUAUUCCACUUUGGCUGCAGACAAAGAAGGGAAAUCAGGUGCUAGAACUGACAAUCAUAGCAAAUUAAAAUCAAAGAGUUUUUCCAAGAGCAAAUGUGAAUAUAAUAGUCAGCUGGACUCAAAAUUCUCAUACCAAUCAAUUAUGUCACAGAAGCUCUAAUGUACUCAUAAGUUUAUCUGUGUAAAAGAUAAAAGAAUCUACUUGUUUCUGUGGAUGCCAUUUUGCAUCAGAAACUCUCAUGUUUGGCUACUUCACAGAAACUAAACACAUCAGAUUGGAAGCCUAUAUUUAUAAUGACAAAUAUCACUGCUAUGCUAAUCAACUGGAAAUUUGUGAAGUCUGCAUAUGUGGUGUUACUUAUGUAAAAUGGGAAAUUGCCCACCUAAGUUUCAGGAAAUUGGAGACCGUGAUCUAAAUAUAAUAAUAUUUAUGUUGGUAUGCUUGAAAGAUAUUCCAAAGAUCAGUCAGGACUUAUGCAAACAAUGGAUUCUUUCAGACAACAAAUGCAGCCAAAAGAAACAGCAUAGUUAACUUAAUAUCUAAUAUUUAUGGGGAAAAAAAAAAGAACACCUGUUUGAGAAAGCCAGCACCAAAAGCCCGAGUGACCUUCAAUGAACCUUUAACGCGAUCAUUCAUCACAGCACAAGCAUCAUCCGAGUGUUCAUUUUUUAUCCUUUGAACUUCCUGAAAUUCAAUAAAACACAAACCUUUCAAUCACUAAACAAAAACUCCCAAGAAACUGAACAGUAAGUCAAUGAUAGCCAAACACUUUACCUCUUCCACACUAGUACUAUGAUCCACAGAAAGCUGAAAAGCAUUCAGAUCAGAUAUACAAGGCUGAUCUCCAUCAAAUCCCUCAAGAUCAUGCAAUGUCUCUUCAUUAAUCCUCUCCAAAUCUUGCCUAAAUUUCCCAAGCCAAUAAUCAGGCUCCGCCUUUUGUGCCAAAACCGCUCUACUAUCACCCACAUUCAUAACAUACACAUCCUCCCCUUUCAUUAACAUCACAAGCACACAAGAACCCAUCAAGGCCAGCUCCGGAUUCUCCAUCAACAUCCUAUCGGCUAUAUCCAAAUAAGCCUCCUCUGUUUUCUUCAACGCUUGUGAUAAUGCUUUUAACACAUCCCCAUGAAUCACAUCCUGUGCCUUAUCUUUAUAAUUCUUAUUCAAUUGUUCCUUUAGUUUCCUAUCAAGUUCUAAUCUUUCCCGGUCCCACUCGCACUUCCACUUCCUCUGAUUCUCCUCCCAUUUCUUAGCCGCCCCUCUAUAACUACUUCUGAAUUUCUUGCUUCUGCUUCUCCCCGUAUUAGAAUCAAAUUCAACAUAAUUUGAACAGCUUUCCGCGGUACAAUUCGUUACCGUUUCACUUUCUAAAGUAGAAUUUUUACCCGGAGACGAAGUAGGUGCAUCCAUUGAUAAAGGUUCAAAUUUAUCAUCCCACAAUAACCCUUUAAGUUCUUUAUGAACAGCUGAGUAUAAAUUUGAUAAAAGAAAAUCAGGCGCAUCAGGGCCAUUGAAUCCAUCGUAGAUUCCAACAAAAACCCAACCGUGUUCCUCCGAAACGACGACGUGUACACGAUCUUCGCCAGCUUUACCCUGAGCCCAUUGAAGAUUUUGACUCUCUAAAGAAUCAUCGUCUUCCAAUAAACUACCGUCGCUACUCACUGUCAAGUUGUUGCUGUUGUCGUUUUGGUUCUUAUCCGACGCGAAAACCCAUUCGGGUUCUUUAACCGAAGCCACUCCUUUAAUCGGGGCUACGAUUGAGUUCAAAUUCUGGCCGCGAGAGAUUGUCUUGGAUAUUGCCCUUUGCAGGACCCGAAUCAGCGACGUUUUUCUUGAUCUGGGCCGGAGAAUAAAACUCGAAUGUGAGAAGCUUCGUUGGAACCGGUCAGGGACGGAGCUAUCCUUUUCAAUCGGACCGGAAAACAACCCGCCGCGGUCGAGAGGACCCGAUAAGAACCCUCUCUCAAUUGGACCCGAAAGAAACCCUCUUUCCAACGGACCAGAAUUGUAGUUACCCGGAAAAAUGGGACCGGAGUUGAUCAGAUGCUUGGAAAUCGGCUGAAGAGGAAUCGAAGAGAAGUUGUUGGAGCAAUCAAAAGCGGCUGCUCGAUCGAAGCAGCUGUAAGUGUACGGAUCAACGAAGGCGGUCGAAAGCGGGGUGGAAGUGUUGGCGCUGACCGAGGCUCCGGAGAUAGUGCGGAACGUGGUGGUUUCUUCGGAGUGGACCUUGGAAGAAGAGUGGCGGGCCUGCUCGGGUCGGACGUAACAGAAAGAAUGACCAAGACCUUCGUCCAGCGGCUCGGAUAUUAAAACAGACAUGUCGUUUCGGCGGCGAGCAUGUUCGCCUCCCGUGAAACACACAGAUAGUUUUCCGAUACCGUUGCCCAUACUAAAACUAAAAUUUAACAACCCCCAGAAGAGAAAAACAGAAGAUUUAUAAAUUUAAAAAAAAAAAGAAAACAAAAAACAGAGAGAUUAAGAGAAGCUUUUAAUGGAAUCUAAUAUGAAAGAUUUUGUGGGGAACUUUUGUGAAGGGUGAAACAGAGAGAUGAAGAAGAUGAAGAAGAGGUGGUGAGGUUAAGAAAGAGAGAGAGAGGCGUUGACUUUUGAUCAAUGGGGGCGUGUUGAAAAUAAAAGAAAAUGCUUUUGUUUGAUUAAUUUUAUUUGUUUAUUUAUUUUAAAAAGCGGGGAAAUUCUUUGGUGGCUUUGCUUUUGGUUCUAUUUUUGUGCGUGUGGACUGUGAAUAGCGAGAAGCGUUGACAAUGGCUGGGGGUUUUGAGUAAAACCGGUGGGUUUGGGGAGGAUUUUAGUUUGGAUUAAAAGCAGUCAAGUCGUAACUUCCUCUAUAGAAAUAGGUGAGCACACUUUUUAACUCUGAAAAUUUUUGUCUGGAGAGUAUCAAAAAAGUCAAAACAUCUUUAAAUAAGCCUGGAAGUCCGUGCCACGAUCACCGUUGGAUCGAGCGUAGUGGAUUAGACAAAAAUCAAGGGUUGACUGACACCUGUCAUCUCAUUAUUGCCUCCUUGUGUUCUUUCGUCAACUUGAGGUUUCCCGAGUACUCUUCUCACUCUUCACACUCCCGGCUACAACUUGCCUUGACUUUCGUCGAUACUUCUCAGAAUAUUAUUUAUUAUUACAAUAAUAUUAUCAAUUUGAAAAUUUAACACCCAAUGAUGACAUUUACUUGAAUGAUAAAUUUUUUUAAUUUAUUAAAUUAAUUAACCACCAAUUAAUAGAUAACUAUCAUAUAAAUUAGGAUUAAAUUAUAAUUUAAAUAUUAAAGAUGUCUGACAUUGCUUUUAUUAUUAUUAUUAUUGUCAUCAUUGGCAAGUUGGCAACUCUCACCAAAAUUUUUAUUUUUCUUAUUGUUCUUAUUGGGAAAAAUUUUGGUUUCUUUAUCUAAUAAUCUUAAGUGGGGUGGGGUGGGGCUAAUUAUCAAUUAAAUAUUGUUGUGUGCGUCGGUGUGGGGGGUUUCAGGCAAUUUCUUGACCAGUUAAUGGCAUGAUUAUUAUUCUCAAUUGACUUUGAUACAAGUGCAGAAUAAUGAACAAACAAGGAUCCAUUACCGUUCCAGGAAGGAGGUCUGGUGAAUUUCUAAGGCCAUUUUUUACUUUAUGGAAGAAGUGUGUAUAUUUCUCCAAAUUUUAGUAGAUAGAUAACCUAAAUAGGUAUAGAUGUCACAUAUUAUUCAUUUAAAAGUUAUAAAAUUUUACCAUCUAAUACACAAAUGAUGAAUUAAUAAUUUUAAUCGUACCCUGCCAGAAUAAAAUCAAGAGAUCUUUUGUAUUAAAAUUAUCAUUCUAUCAAUGCACAUAAAAGUUCAGAUAAACAUUAAAAUGUCUGCCAUGUCUUGUGUUUACCUCUAAUUUGGUAAAAAAAAAUCCCAUCAUAUGUAGCAUUCCCCCCCCCCCCCCCCUCUUUUUUUACUUCAAGACUUCGUACAUAUUGAUACAUAUGGGAGAGUUAGGAGAUGCCAUCAUAUUGUCCACACUAUAAUUACAUCAAUUAAAGAUUUGCGUAAUAACUUUAUUAUUAUUAUUAUUUUUAAAGGAACAUUCACCACCAUUCACUAUUUAGGUGCAAAUUGAUAAUUUUUUUAUUUUUAUCUCGAUACGUGGCAAAAUGGGCAUCUGCCACGUUUCAAAUAAAAAGUCAAUGUGGCACAUCAUGAUACAAAGGUAAUUGGUUUUAGGUUGAUGAUUGUUUCCAACACCUUCAAAAGAAAUUAAGUGCGGAUGGAGACUAACCCAUUUCAUGUACAAAUAUAUUUUAACAAUUUGAGAGUCCAACAGAACCUAGGUUCUAACAUUAGUUUAAUAGGAGAAGAAGAAGAUUAAAAAGCUUAAUUAAUUAAUUACAAUUUCCACUUUCAUAAUAAUAUCCCACUUGAGAAUUCAAAGCAAUCAUCAUUUCAAUAUUGCAAGUGGAGUGAGCUUCUUAUCCACCAUCUCCACGAAUUUAUUGACCCCCACCAAUAUUAACUUCUCUUCAUUUUGUCAUCUCGAACAGCUACUCAACAUUGCAUCAUUUUAAUAAUAUAUUUUUCUUUUAGAGUAUAUUUCAAUAAAUUAAAGAUAUUUAUUAUGUUUUAUUUGAAUAAUAGUUGUCUGUCUUAGUAGAAAUAAAAUUAUUAUACAAUUCUUAAAAAAAAAAAGAUUAUUAUAGAGUUUUUAUUUUUAUUUUUUUGGUUGAAAGAUAAUAUAAUUAUAUUAUAGAACCUCUCUCGUGCAAAUAAACACUCAAAGUGAUAUUGACUUUGAAUAAUUUAUUGUUGUAAAAUAAUAAUAACAACUAGAAUUAUAAAAUGUUAUAGAUGAUAACACUGAAAACAUAAUUUACAAAAGACACAGGCGUAUAAAAAAAAGUUUUAAAUUAAGUAAUUAUUAAAUUAUAUAAUAAGUGGGUCAUAAAGGAAAAUAGAAUUUUUUAAAAGAAUUAGUUUACAUUGGCCUCAAGUUGAGGUUGACAAAAUCUAUUAUUUAAUUAAGUUUAUUAACUUAUGGAGUAUUAUUUUAUGAAGGUUCUACUAUAUAUCUAAAAUUUUGUUACUUAAAUAAUUUCCCCUGUUAUAAAAGAUUUUGAUAAGUAUCGGUGCAUAUUAAUGAAGUCUUAUUAUGACAGCUAAACUCUCAUGUAAAAUUGUAAAUAAUUUUUUAAGAGAUAGAGUUAUUUUAACCCACUAAAUUCCUCACAACAUCUUUUUUAAAUUAGAAAUUUUUAGUUUAGAAAUAUAAUUUGGUCAAUUACUUAUUUGACCUUAUUCUUUAUUCAUCGAUCACCUUUCCUUAUCAAUAUUUAUCAUGAUACAUAAAAUGGAUAUUACAUUUAACAAUUAAAAUAAUAAAUUAUAAUUUGACAAUCAUUUUAAUUAAAAAAUAGGUGUUGAAAAAAAUAACCCCAUCCUUCUUUCAGAAGUGUUGUUAUUGAGUACUUUUAUUGAAACAGCCAUCACGCACAAUUGUCAUUAUUAUUAUUUUUAAGAAAAGUACUUUUACACUAAGAAAAUUUACCUCUUUUAAUCACCUUUUUUUUCAUUUUUACCCGUAAUUUUACUAUUACAAUCUCUUAGUAAAUUUUUUAGUGCUUUCCCGAUCAUGAUCUUGUUAAAUAUUAUAUGCAAUGAGAUCCAAACAGCUCAUACCAAAAUUAUUUAUGUAAUGACUAAUGAAGCAUUAGAAAGAAAAAAAAAAUGUUAUUAUAUUUUGAACAAUCAACCAUCUUCGUCCCGAAGAAAGACUAUGGGCCAACUACGUUGACUCAAAAAGUUGGAGGAAAAAGAAUUAAUCUUGUUUUAGAUACUUUAAUUAAUCUUUGAUUUGAUUUGAUAGUACUUAUAUAAAUUAUAUGCAAGUGAUGGAAGGUAUGUAAUUGACUUGUUUCAAUUUCACCUCUGGCCAACACCUCGAUGUUGUCAUCUUUUCUGCGUAUUUUAGUGGGUUUUUCUUUGGCUUUGCUGGCACCAUACAUAUGCAGGUUUUGUUGAAUCGUUAAUGCUUUCCAAUUCAGCUAAAACCUUUCUUUGUGGCUUUUGGUAAAAUAAUUUUUUUCUUUAAUUAAAAAAAAAAAACAGUGAAGUGAAUAGCAAUUUAACAGUUUGAUCCUGAAGAAAACGAUAAACGAACCCGUAAAAGGAAUACACCCAUUGAUAAAAAUUAUGAAACAAAGCUCUCUUUUGUGACUUUAAACAAACGCUAGGAUGUGAUUUGCUCGUAGAAACAUAAGGAAAUUCAGAGACUACCCUAAAUUAUUUAAGCAAAUUUAACCAAACUACAAAAAGAAUGUUGAAUUUGUACAAGACAAAGGAAGCUUAAUUUGCAAAAAAGAAGAUGAAGGGGGGCGUGGGGAAAUUGUAAUUUGCAAAUAAAGAUAUUUCAAAGAAGAGAAUGUAAUGCUAGCCAUUGUGCGAGCACAAUCCAGAUAGAUUUUGACUUGAGAAAGGAAUUUUGAGGCACCUUGGUCAUUGUCAUUAGGCACCACCACCAAAUUCCACUUGCAAAUAGUAACCAUUCUUGCAUUUUAUCAUCACUGUUUCAAUGCCAUUCAUUCCCCUUUUUUUUGGCCCUGUUUCAUGUGCUGCCAAAUUUGACAAAAGAGAUCAAUAAUGUGAUCUUAUAAACUUCCCAUCUUGUUCCUCUCAUGUCUUCCCUAUCUCUUAAGAUACACUCAUACACAUACACUUUCACAUGUAGGACACUUGCCUAUUUUACUAUAUAUAUAUAUAUAAUUCUUAUAUUCAUUUUGGAUUGAAUUGAUAGUGCUUUUUGACAUGAACGAAAGCAUUACCGAACGUCAAAAAGUGUUUUCUCUUUCUAAGAUGUGAUUUGAAAUAUUUUUAACGGGAUCCGAUUACUAUAUAUAAACAAAUUGUACAUAAAUAAUUUUUUAAAUAAAUAUGUUUCAAGUAUCUAGUUUGAUUACUAUAUAAAAAAUAUAAAAAUAUCGUGUUUCUCCUGAUUUCAUGUGAAUUGAUCACUCGAGUCGUCAAUUUGUUCACACACACAUAGAAUUGAUCACUCGGGUCUUCAAUUUGUUCACACACACACACACAUAUUUUCCAAUCAAAGAUUUUAAAGUGCAGAAAAUUCCAGAAAAUUUUAAAAUUAUACAAUUUUAAAGUUAAAUUUUAUAAUGCUAUUAAACUCCACAGUUUAUAUAUAUAUGUAUGUAUGUAUGCAUGUACACACACACACAAUCAUUAUUUAAUAAAGGAUCUCUUAUAUUAUUAAAGUAGAGGCACAUUCUAAUACGAUAUAUUUUAUCAUAUAAUAUAUUAGAGUAUGUAUUUUUCUUAUCUUUUAACAUUUAACAUGUAAUGUAUUAGUUUGCCUAUUAUGUAAUAUAUAAACAAACACUCAAAUUUGUUUACAUAUAUAUAUAUAUAUAUAUAUAUAUAUAUAUAUAUAUAUAUAUAUAAUAAUUAUCUAACCAUUAGAUUCUUAUUUUAAAAAAGUGAGAAUGCCACUAAUAGAUAAAAAAACACAUAUUUCAGUAUAUUAACAAACAAAAAAUAAUCUACAAUAAAUUAAAAUAAAUGUAUUCAAAUAUGUAUUAUUUAUAUAUAUAUAUAUAUAUAUAUUCAUAAUAUCUUCAUUAGAGAAAAACUAUAUAUAUAUAUAUAAUUUUCUGAAUACAUCGAAAUCAAAUUGGUAAACCCAUCUCAUCUUUUUAUAUGCAUGCAUGCACCGCACCAUAUAGAAACAGAACUGGCUUCUAGACCAUCUCAGAACCAAAUCAAAUAAGAAAUAAUAAUAAUUGAUCAUAUUAAUUUGUCAACUUUGAACACGUCAACAUUCUCAACAUUAGAAACCGAAUUGCAUGGUCAAAUUUUUUAUUUGGUUUUCAGGUUUUGAAUUAAGCAAUACUUUAUUGGGUAAUUGGGUUUCCCAAAUAAGGAGACAAAAUUCUUCAAAAAUAUGGACGAAAUUUCUGUUUGGGAACAAAACAAUUUCUACUUCCGUAAUUCAAUAGCAACUCAUUCACGGCACAUCAUCUUAUGUCCACAUUCAACUGACUUUCUGUUACUUGUAAUCAAAUUUCAAACCCACGGCUUUGACCACAGAUAAUAUUAUACUUAAAAUUGUCAAAGACAAAUUUAUUAAUUAUAUCACCAAGCAGCCCCCAGUUGAAAUUUGUUUGUAAAAAGCCAUGUGAAAAGAAUUAAUAUCUAAUCAAAUUGUUGAACUCUGACAUUGACAAUGAACAAAUGUUGAGGGCCCAAAAGAAAACUAAAGGGCUGGAAAAGGCCCGCACGUCAUUCUUAUGACGUUGGUUAAACAGCCCGAGUUGAACAAACGGGCUUUCCGUUCACAUGAGUAUUUUCAGCAGGAAGUUGCUGAAGAACAAAAGGGACCCAAGAUCAGUCAUAGGGGGAAUCGGUUUUAAGAUUUUAUUAAAAAUCAAAAUUACAGCGGAGUUUAUGGGUUUCUUGGAGGAGAUGCCUGUAGGAUCGGGCUAGAGAAUAGGUAGUAACAAGUUCAAAUAAAAUAAAUAAACCAUAUGCGUCCAUCUACCUUACAACAGUUUGUAUUUUAUAUUAUAUAAGUCGUUACAGAAUUUUCAUUUUAGCGACAAAAUCCUUCAUUAUACUUCCUAACUUGUUUAUUAUGCUUUUCAAGUUUGCAUUAUGCACAAGGAUGCAAUCGAAGAAUUCAGUCAUAGAAGAGCCAGUUCAAAACAUACUGAUAUCAACUAUGGAUAUGAUGUUUGAAAAGCUCCAAAUUAUACGGGAGAAAAGUGCAAAUUUUCAAAACAUUUACAAGGGUUAGAUUUGAUAUUACACAUAUCAAAGUAGGGUUUAACUUUGUAAAUAAUGAAUAAUUUGUGACUUAUUUUUACUUUUUUUUUUUGAGGUAUAAUGUAAGUAGAGCUGGCAAAACGGGUCAUCGGAUUGUGUUCGUGUCGUGUCAAAUUUAGGUCGACUCAAACCCGACCCAUUUAAUAAUCGUGUCAAAAUAUUGAGACUCAAACCCGACACGGAAAAAUAAUUGGGUUACCCAAUAACCCGCUUAAUAUCUAUAUAUUAAACAAAAGUUACAUAAAAUAUUUACACUUUGUCAUACAUAUGUAUGCACAUACAUACAUACAUACAUACAUACAUCCAUACAUACAUACAUACAUAAUUUAUCAAUAUUAAAAAAUAUACAUAUCUACUAAAAUAUUACACACUAUUGAGGUUUUAAUUAUAUAUAUGUAAAUAAUAUUAUAUAUCAAUAUUAUAAAAUAUAUAUGUCUACCAAUAUUUUAUACAUUUACAUUAUUAAAGCUCUAAAUGUAUUUAAAAUUUUAUAAAUAAAAUAUUGUGUCUAUAUUCAUCCUUUUAAAGAAUAAAAAAAAAAAUCAUCUCUAAUAUUUGAGUUUUGAUGAUAAGAAUCUGUAAAUUAUUUUAAAAUGAAAAAUAUAAUCGGGUCAUUAAUCGGAUAAAUGGGUCAAGAAUUUGAACCCUAACCCGACACGAAAAAAAAUCGUGUUGAUCCGAACCCGAUCCAUACCUAUUUAUUAGUGUCAUAUUUAUGUCAAAUUAUCAGAUCGUGUCAAAUUUUACCAGCUCUAAAUGUAAGUAUUGCUUUAUUAUCGCAUAAUCAGGCUUUCCCAGUAAACAACAUUUUAGUACGCGAGAAAACGUAUGACAAUUUCAUGCACGGGGACAUGAUCGUUAAAUCCAUCAAAACCAGUAAACAUAAGAUCAGACAGUUCCCACGUAUGCAUGGUGCAAUAUAGGGCAUGGGAACACACACACUGUAGAUUCUCUAUCCAAAAUGUUGACACUGGAUAUGCGGCCUGUACGCUGUCAACAUCAGAGGGCAUAGAAAAGCGUGGAAGCAUCAGGCAACUGUUUUCAGAUCAUAUCAGGACCAUCAAAAAUAUUGUGGGGCCGGGCCAGAAAAGAACAGAACCCACUUGCCUGACCGCGUUCUGUCACCCACUACUACUAAUGCUUUGGCCAACCAACAAUUAACAUCUAGCAAAAUGCCAUUACAAUCCCAGCAGGAUAGAUUCUCUCUGUGUCUAUCUUUUGACCAAAAUACCCCUCAAAUUCUAGAAAAUUCACUCUAAGUACCGAGUCCGUGAUGCGCGCGUGUUUUAUCAGCGUACGGUGUACCUGUUGAUUCCCCAUGCUCCAUUUGUCCAGUUAAAAAUCUCAAAAAUAUUUGUCCGCGUGUAAUUGUCAUAAAAUUAAUUUUUUUAAAAAAUUAAAAAUAACUAGAAUUAAAAGGCUUCAGAAAAAAAGGAGUGUUAGAAGAAUUUGUGGUUCUGGAAAGCUCAGAGUACAGGAUGUUACCGAAAAAUAACGGCAGCUUUAUCACUUUAUGCUAGAAGAAGGCAAGCUAGCUCGUUAUUUUCUUUCCAAUAAAAUCAGCAAAUAACAAAAAUGUGUAAGUAGAUACAAUCCCUUCAUGCUACUCGUACAUACAUUGCAUUAUUAAAUACUCAAAAGCUCCUUUACAAAAUUACAACCCAAGAAAAAAAAAAAAAAGCCACAAAUUGAGCAGAGCAAAAAUGGUGAUUUUGAAUGUAAAGUAUUUAAAUCAUCGACACAAUUAAAUUAACAUCCCCUCUUAAAAAACCCAAAAAUUAAACAAUUCGGCUGCUUUUGUAGCCAAAUUAAAUUCAGCAAUAUAACAAAAAUAAGAACAGAAAAAAAAAAUUGUACCCGAAAAAAAAAAAAAGAUUCAUACCAGUACAUACAACAAUCCUAUACAACACAGAGCAGCUGCAACAACGUAGCUCCUCCACUGCAACUGCAAUCCAUCAGCGUUUGAUUUCAUAUCUUCGCGAAAGCCAGGUGGCGACGUCAAAUGCGAAGAGGGCCCACCGAGUCCCGGUGAAUUCUCAGGCGACGGUGAUACACCCGGCGGCCGAGCAUUGCCUAUCUGCUGAUUCCCCGGCUUCGUCGUCACCGCCGGGUCCUUCCCAAAAAUCUCCCUUGGCAGUAACACUUUUGAUACCCCAAAAAUCGCCAACGGAUUCUGAUCAAAAACUGUUUGCGUUACCGAUGCUUGAACGAGCCCAGUAUCGAUAGCCACUGAACCAUUAACUCUCGAAAUGUUUAACGUAAACCGACCGGCUCCCAUGUCUUCGGUCGCCAAUGUCGGCUGAACCGGGUUCACUAUCGACUCGAGCGAACCGAGCGGAUAAUAAGAAUGCAAAACAUGGAAUUUCAAAACGACAGCUUUUUUAUCAGCUGGCAGAGACUGCAGCUUCACGUUAUUGGGCAGAUCUGCGAAUGCGAGAUCGGUGGGAACGAAUAGAGUAAUCCCGGCGCCGCCUUCAUCGGCCUCGAAUUCCUCGACGACACCGGAGGCUGCCAGCAUCGACGCCGCGACGUUGAAGUUGUGGCCGUCGAUCAGGGCCUUUGUGAUGUUGAGUCCCAACGGCGGCCUGGUCUCGGAAGCCAUGAGAUCGAAGCCGUAGGGGACCAAGAGAGAGUUGAUCGAGAGAAUUGUGAUGUUGUAAGGCAGGGUUUUGAUUAGGGUCAACACGGUGGCGUUUGAGGCGGAGUAAGGAGCGGGGGAGUGGAUGGCGAUUGCGUUGGUGGCGGGGUUGCGGCUGAUGUUGACGGAGCCGAAGUUUGACGACGCGCGGCCGGUGGUUUGGAAGAGCGUGGUGACUAGAAUGCCGGAGGAGGGGAUCUUGCGGAGGUCUGCCCAGGACAAGUACUGUAACAGGACGUGGUAGCGGAGGAGGUCGGCGAGGGAGGAGGGAGAGAGGCGGCGCGUGAAGUCCAGCGAGGAGGGUGAGUUGAGGUAGGAGUUCGGUACGGCGAGGAAGGUGAUGGAGGAGCGGUGGGAGAGGUCGGUGGCGACGGCUGAGGACGUGGAGGAGAUGAGGGCGGAGAAUGCGGAGAGGUCCGGGUACGGUAAAAGUAGGUCGGUGAUGUUGAGGGCGAGAAUGGGUGGGGUGGUGAUGAGGAGUAAAUAGGUUAUAAUUGUAGGGGUAAAAUAGGAAAUGCGGAGUUUAAAGUCCAUUGCGUGUCUCUCUCUCCGUCUCUCUACUAGAAUUUGCAGAGAGUGAAGUGAGUGGAGUGGAGUUCGCAAGGGAAGGGAGAGUGAAAAGAAGGGAUUGAGCGAGAGCGUGAUGAUGGAGGAUGAUAAAAAAUGAUUAUGGUGAUGGCGAUGUUGAUGCAUUGAAUUUGUUUAAUUGUUAUUUUCAUUGCGGAUCUUUGCCCACUCGCGAUGGAGGUGCGAGUGAGGACACUCGCUUGCCAGACAGAGACAGGGAUAUGCGUUCAUACCUAUCUUAGACAAGUUUUUGCUAUCCAAAUGUAAUAAAUAGCAAGGCGUUAGGCGUGAGUCGAAAUUAGUAAUUAUAUAUAUAUAUAUUAGGGGUAUGGUUUUUUUUUUUUUAUUUGUUAUUAGGGGUAUGAUUUGGAGAUUGAUUCUGAGCAAUUUUAUAAAAGAAGGAAUCUGAUUAUGGACAGGAUUUGCUAUUUACGGCAUUAUCACAUGGACGAAUGGAUCAAUAUUCUUAUUUCUAAUUCAUUAUGGAUAAAACUAUUGAAUGUGACGGUAAUGAUUACUUUUUCCAAAACUUCGAUCUAUGAGAAUGGCAAACCAAUAAUAAAGAUUAACGGUAAACUCUAAUAACAUCAAAUUUAUUAUCAAUUAUCUACUUACCAUAUUAUAACAUUUUCUCUCAUGUGUGUGUAGAGUUUUAAAAACAAGACACACAAACUCUUAUCUAAAAUUGCAUAUCAACUGCACGUCAAGUCGUUUUCUUUCACAAAAGUAAUCUCAUCAUGGUAUUAUUAUUUUUUUUUGAUAGACCUAUCUAUCUCAUCAUGGUAUUAAUUCCUCAUAAAACAAAAUUUGCUAAUAAAAAAAUUAUUCUAUGCAUUAAUUAUUGAUUUAAGUGAUAAACCUAUUUAUAAAAGAGUAAUACUAGGUAUCUCAAUUAGAGAUGACAAAAAUUCCCACGAUAACAAAAUUUUUCGGGGAUUUUUUACCUAACUUCUUAUUCAGGGAAGAAACGGGGAUGAAAUGGAAUUACCAUCUCUCUCCAUUUUUUCAGUUUAAUUUUAAAUUUAUUUUUUAAAAUUAUUUGUGAAUAAAUAAUAAAAUUAAAAUUUUAGAUUAUUAAAUAUUAGUAUAAAUAACAAAUAUCAAAAUAUUUAUAUUAUUAAACUUUUGAGCCUAGUUGACUAGUUGUAUUUUUAAAUUUCUAUUUAGGACAUUAAAAAAGCCGGAUAUGAUACUAUUGGCCCAAAAUUUUUUAAUUAUAAUAUUCCUUAAAUAUUUUAAACUUUUAUAUUAUAAAACAAAAAUUAAAGCAAAAUCAUUAAACAUAAUUUCUAAUUUUCAACAGUAGCAAGCAAUCACCUCGCUUCUACUUUUAUUUAAAUUUUUUAUUUUAAUAUAAUUAAAUUAAAAUAAAAAACUAAAAACGUGUCAAUUAUUUAAGAAUUAUGAACUUUCGGAAAUCUCAUGUUAUUAUUCGGGGAGGGGACAUAGAUUCCCUCAAGACAUUUUGACAGGGACGGAGUAGAAAUGGGGACAUAUGUAGAAUAUUGAGAAUGAAUACAGAGAUAUCGGUCCCCUCUCCUCUCCUCCCCAUUGCCAUCCUUAAUCUUAAUAUUCAAAUCUGAACUUAAGUUUCAACUAUGUGACAUUAAUCUAUUAAAUGGUCGUUAACUAAUUUUAUAAUAUAUGAAAUCUAAUAUUUAUUUAUAUGAGUGACACGUAAUAUUGAAAUUUAACUUGAAACUAAAAUAUUGGGAUCUCUAAUAUUAUUAUUUAUAAAAUAAAACAAACUUUUAAGGUUACAUUGUCAAUAUCUCUCCAAUAAAAAUUAAAAAAGUUUAAUAUUAUAUAUUUAUAUUCAUAUACAGUACAAUGUUUACAAGAGACUUUCGCGCAAAUAAAUUUGUAGGAUAGAAAUUUCAUGCUGGGGAGGGUAAUAUAGUAAUAAUAAGGCUGCAAGUGACAGAGGACCGUGUGUACGUAAACGGUUGGACGGCGGCUACGACAAAAAUCAGCGUCAACAAGUGGAGCAGGCCGGGGAGGCUCUCCCCGGCCUUUUUUCAAAUUAAAAUAAUUUAUAAAAAAAAAAUAAAAAAAACAAGGAUCAGCAGCGUCAUGAAACUUUUCCGCGGACGUAAAAAAAGCUUUGGCGAUGACUGAUAUGACGCACUGUUAUUUGGCUUUCUGUGUCAAGCAUCUACAUGGUCCCACUCCUGGCACUGACCCCUCUUUCUUUUCUUUUUUUCUUCAAAGCUUUGAACUGUUUUCACACCUCAUUGCUCGUUACAAAGCAUACGUUAAAAAGAUUAACGACUUAAUUAAGGAAAAUGAAUGUGGAGAAAAACGAACAAAGUAAACGCGUUUUUUUUUUUUUUUUUUAAUAUUAGUUACAUAUCAUAUUAUUAUAUUAUAUAAAUAUUUAUAAUUAUUAUUAUUAUAGUAAACAUUAUACUAAUAUUUAGUAAACAUUACAUUAAAAUAUUCUAAAGUACAUGUCCAAACAAAUAACCAUUAUAGACGAAUGAUAUUUUUGUUCCACUCAUAUUUUAGAAGAAAAAAAAAAUUUAAAAUAUUUUUCACUUCCACAAUAUUUUUGUAGAAGCUUGAACCGCUACCCUCAUGCUUGCUAGGACAGCAGCUUGACCGAGCAGUAAACACGUUUUUAUAUAUUCCAAAGAGAAAAUAACAUACGGUGACGCAUCAAUUUUACGUUAUCAUAAAUAAUGAUAUAGUUUGUGUAUAUUAACAAAUAGGUCCCUUGCAUGACCUGUUGAAGUAACCUAAUCAACCUUAUGAAUUUUGAACCGAAGGGAUCGACACUCAACAGAGAUAUAUAGAAAUGGAUGGGGGGUCAAGGUCCUAUCUUAUACAAAUGGAAAAACUACAUACCUGUAUCUUUAUUUACGGGAAUGUAAAAAGCAUAGAUCACGAUGUUAUUAAUUACUUAAUUUUUGUCUAAAGUCAAAAACAUAGGUGUCACUUUUGUAGCCAUUUGAUAGAAAAAGAAAAGAAAAAGAAAGUUUAAUGCAGAAGUACUGUACAGACCAUAAGUCCCAACAGCAGACAGAAUUAAAGAAAAGGUUAAGGUAAAGAAGUGGAAUAUCCAAAUCUUUUUUCUUCAUUUUUGUGUGAAAGAAAAGGUAAAAGAGUGAUGCUGUCUAACCCUGUAAACGGUGAAGUUCUGUUGCUUUAAGUUGGUGUAUAAAUUACUAUAUCGUUUCUUCAUACGGUAACUAGAAAAGCAUUUUUUUAAAUAACAAGUAGCACGCAUUUGGAUCUUGCAACAGAAAGUUGAAAAACAACACAUAUCUGGUUCUGGUGACGCUUAUAUAACGCCAAACUUGUUUCAUAUCUUUGCCUGCCGCAUUGUACUUAUGCAAAAGUUGCCAGAAACUCUAGCUUUUGGGGUUGUGGGUACUUUGUUGGAGAACCAAAAUUUAAAUUUUGCUUGAAGAUGUUGAUUUUACGGGGGAAAGAGAAUGAAUUGAAUUCUUAUUGAAUCGAGCAGAGCUGGGCACCAAAUGUUUUAGUCCAAUUACAUCACAAUGUGAAAUCAGAAAUUGAGCCGAAGCAAGUUUCGAGAUUAGCCCAACCCACGUUUCUGUCAGCAUCCCCCAUAUAUGCUGAUAACACCCCUUUUAUUGAGUAACACAAUAAAUCAAGACACGUGAGAGAGUCAUGUAUGCGGCGACAUUCAGUUUAGAACGCAAGUUUUGUUUUAUAAAUGUGUAACACCAUUUAUAUUGUACCGUGAAAGAGAAUGUUAUCUAAUGGCGCUACUACCAACGAUUAAUGUGAGUUUUUGGUUGAAUAAGGCGUACCACAUGCUUUUUAAGCUCGUCGAGCAGAAUCUUACUGUAAAAAAUUGUUGGCUUCGGGUGUGUGUUUUCAACUUUCAAGAUGAUUUCAUAUACUUAAUUUGAUUGGUCUCAUGAAGUGAUCACGAAACACAUGUAAAACAUUGAUAUGGUGCGUUCUAGUUAACCUAGUAUAUUUUCAACUUUAUACAAGGAAAAUAUUGUCAACAUUUCAACUAUGUGAGGUCAUUUUUAUAUCAACUCAAAAAAAAAAAAAAAUCUUGGAAGUUUUCAAAUUGAGGUCAAGUUUGGGACAGUAUAUAACAUUGGCCUGCCAAAAUUGACCUUCUUUUGAUAAGCUCUAGAAACCCAUAGAUUAAGACAAUUAAUCAAAAAUAUAUUUCAAAUUUCCUUUUGUAAAUCAAACUUUUUUCUCCAACCCAUACCAUUUACUAAGAAACAACAAUAGAUUAUUGCGUAACCAUAACUUGAUUGUUUGGCUGGUCCAUAAAUAUUAAGUAGCCGGUUCUUUACUUUUAAUGGAGGAUAAUUGUCACAUUCCAAAUUUUAAUUAUCUCCCUUAAUAAUGAAUAUUAUUGAUGAUGAUGACGGUCUUAUGCUACAAGUGUUACAAGUUUGACUGUAUCCUAUCAUACAUUGAGUGACAAGAAAGGGUUCAAAGUUCUAUCAUAUAGUAUUAUAAUGCAACAAUGAUGGCUUAAAUUUUAAUGACACAAAUAUAGAUAGAGAGUUCUUUGCUACCGACAAUCACUAUAAAUUACAUAAAGAUAGAAAUUUUUAGUAUGGAUGUUCGUAGUACUCUUUAGGUGAAACAUUGUUGAAAAGAAACAUUAUAAAUUAUAAGUCAUUAAUUUUAUAAUAGAAAUUUUAUAAUUUUUUGCACAAAAAGGUGGACGUUUUGGGUUUUUGAAAUAGUGGGAAUGCUGAUAUUUUGAGGAUUUUCAUAGUUACAUAUAUUUUAAAGAACUUUGCAUUUGUAUUUAAGAGAAAUAUUUGGCUUUUGUUGUGAUCGCCAACAAGCUAAGCAAGAUGGGAGAACAAAAGAGUAAAUUUUCAAUCUGAAGGCCGUUUAAGCCAUUUGAAGGGGUAAUUAGGCUUUGAAUUUCUAGAAGUGUGUUUUAUAAUAAUUAAUAUAGCUGACUUAUCUAGAAACAAAUGCCACGAAAACAUUAUGAUUAUUACUUUGGAGAACUAUAUUAAUCUGAUAAUAUUUAGGUUAAGAAAUUUGUAGCGGGCAUAUAUAACAUGCGCUGAAUACAUUUUCGACUAUUUGAAAGAUUAUACAAACUUACAUUUUGGACCCAAAUAUGUAUACUGCAUCAUAACAUAUCAUAUACGUUAAUAGACUUUCAAUACAAUCAACGCUUAACUAAUAACCCCGACACACGUAAAAGAGUAAGAAAAUACGUUGAUCAAAGUAUUUCGAAACUAAUUAAUUUGAAAGGUAAUUAUAAAUAACUUAGUGAGUCAGUUACACUACACAAUAAGAUAAUACCCAAAAUCUUAGAAAUCAUAUAUCUUGGGUUUAAAAUUUAUUGAUUUUAUAUGCAUCAUGCAACAAAAACGUUUCUUUCUUUUAAAGGGUUGAUUUAAGCGAAAGCAAUGACAGAAAAAUUCCAUCAUAAGUUUCAUAACAACAGGAAGGAAGUACAACACUUUUUUUUUUCCCUGUUUUUUUUAAAUGCAGUAAAAUAUACACUGAUAAAAAUGAAAUAUAUAUUUUUUUCCUUCGAGAAACGAAAAUUGAUGUACCUAAAAACGAAGAAAUAUUUGUCAAAUUACGUGGGCUGCUACCCCAAGUUAAAAAUAUAAAAAGUACGAACUGCAUGCGAUCGCAUUUCAGAUCAUCAACUCACAGCAACUUAGCUUUCCGGCUAGGUGAUGAAGUAGUAUCAAAGCUAAAAUCUCGUGUCAAAUUCAUGUGUUCAAUUCAUGGGUUCGGUGCACAUACUUUUUUUUUUUGGGUAUAAUUUGUCAGAGACGAUUGACGUACAGAUUAUUUGUUGAAUGCGGAUCACCCAUUAAUCACUCGUGGAAUAAUACUGGACACUCGAUCGAUAAGCAUCUUGAUUGUUUAUUAAUUCUUUGUCAAUUGCAUGUCUAGAAAGGCAAAUUACUUGAGAGAUUUUAUAUUUGAAAUCCAUCACGUGUUUGACUCCUAAAUCAAGAAAAUCGUCAAAUGACAAAGAUGUACAACUACUAUACAUAAGUGAUCAAUAGAAUAUAUAUACAUGCAGGAUACCGCAUAUGUGUACGUUCUGAUGGGUUGUUGAGCUAGGUCAAGUGCGGUCAGUUAGUUAAACUUCCUCGUCAGUCGUUCAUUUUGAUAUUAUAAGAUUUGGUCAUCUGAUCAAAAUCAAACGUUAUAUGUAAAGCCAAUGCCCAUAAAUUACUUAAUUGACUUGGCUCUGGUAAGCUUGUUAAUUUGGACCAGUCUUGCAGGGAAGCCUCAGCUCAGAGCGUGACCUCCUCUGGCGGGUCAACCAAGCGCGCGCCGAAAAUACUUUUAACGACUUCUCUUCACGGUCGUUUUGGUAAAUAUACCCCCAUUAUAACUGCCAACCUUCUCUUUGCCUCUGUUUUGCUUGUUCAGAGAAUUUUAUAUAGAGCUUCAGCUUCCCAAGUUGUUAAUUGUUGAUUUUCAUCAGGUAGGUUUGAUGCUUUAUGACCUGUUACUUUGCUGCUGUUGUCGUUUAUUUAAUUAAUUGCUACAAGAAACGUUUUGUGGGGUGUUUUAAUUUUGUAUAUGCUGAAGUUAAUGAAGGCGGCUCAGUAAAUUGUUUGAAGUUUCAAAAUAACAUGAAUUUAAUGUUCUGAUAAAUUAUCUUCUCCGCAUAUACUUGUUAUUGAAGGUGUUUUUCUAAUUCUGUCCGCUUAUGUUUUUAUUUUCCUUUUCCUCCUCUUAUUUCUCGGUCAAGGAACCAGCUGGUUUCUAAAGGUGUUUGGUGAAAUGAAACUGGGUGGAAUUAAAAGAGCAUGAUUCUUGCUUCUUCUUCUUCUUCUUCUAGUUUUAUUAUCGGAUUCUCUGUUUUAUCCGCUUUCGUAAACUGUUGGGUUCGUGAAUCAUGAGUUUUGUAGUCACGUUCUUCACCAAAGAUUAAUAAAAUGAACACAAUCAGAUAUCUGCUGGCUCAGUGUAUCCGUUUGGCAACCUGUUUCUGUUUGCUUUGUUUUCUUUCUUCUCUUUCUAAUAUGUUUGAUGUUUAAAGGUUAUUGAAUUCAUAAUCUUCUUGGCUAUCUUACUUGUCAUGAUACUUAGCUCUUGCUGUUGUUGACCUUUUUUUUUUCUUUUUCUUUUUUUAAUUUUAGGAUUCUGAAGAUUCUGGGUUCAGAGGUUGAAAUCUCAGCAAAAUCUUUGUGAUUGAAGUAUGGGAACGCAGUUGCAUCGAGUAAACUCCGGUGUUCAAUUUGAAGACUACCAUCCAGGUUGCCUGUGGGGCAUACUCCAUGUCCUUCACCAUCAUCACAGGAAUAAUGCCAAAAAGAUUGUCCCACAUAAAAAGCACCGUGAAAGAAGACAUGCCAAAUGUAAGCAAUGUCAGUUUGCCUCAUGGAUUUUUGCAUCUAAAGUUGCAGAAACAACGAACUGUAAAAAAGUAUCUUAAUGUUUUAAAUAAGCUUUCUAAACUAUGUAGUCGAAGGUCUAUACUCUGUAGGAGGAAUAUGGAUUCCCUUAUAGAGGCAUUUUUAGUUUUUUGUCCUCCUUAUAAACUGUGUUUUGAAUUUUUUACGGAGUUAAUAAUGCAUAUCAACAAUAUUGUAGGCUGUGGAAAUCCAAAGACAAUUUCUAUGGACCGCGAUAAAUUUGAAGCACAGGGUUUAUUGGAUGCCGAAGCAGAUAAGUUCUUUGUAAGUUCAUGAUCCUAUAAAUUACCUGAGAAUCCAGAAAAUGCAAAUGGUGGUUCAUUAUAUUAUUCAUAACUAAUGUAAUCCCUUUAACAUGAUCAGGUUGAACAGCAUCCUACAAAAGUUAGUCCAACUGACAAAAGCUUAAAGGCAUUAGUCACUGAAGAGAUGUCUGAGGAAGAGAACCACAAACAUUGGCUUUUAGGAUUCUCUGCAGAACCAAAGUUUCAGCGAACAAAUUCAAUCAAUCAUUUAGAGCCCUCAGAUUAUCGCCUUGGUAAAAUAAGCACUGAUUGGGCGAAUCCAAUUAUCAUCCUUCAUAAAAAUGCAAAUAACUCGGCCAGUGAGUUGGAGUUUUCAUCUCUGAAAAAGACAAACAGGAGAUCAGUUCCAAGAAACAAAGAGUUUGAUGUUUGUGAUAAUGCAAAUGUUGAGAGCAGCAGUGGACAGUACCAGCAUUCUGGAAAGCAUGUAGGGAUUAAGACUGAGAAAGUAAUGGGAACCUCAAAAAGUCUGAACCAGAUUGAUGUCGAUCAUCAGGUCAAGGAAUAUGUGGAUGUUCUGGAGAUAUUUAAGGUGAACAAGGAGUUGUUCCUCAAUAUCCUGCAAGAUCCAGACAUUGCAAUUUCAAAACAGAGUCCUGGCCCGCUGAUUUCCAACAGGAAAGCAAAGUUAACCAAAUCAGGAUCAUUUCCAGUAGCUGAUAUUUCUCAAGUCAGAUAUCUUAGGCCAAGUACGCUAGAACAUAAGCGGAAUGAAGCUUGGACCUUCCCCAGAGGAGAAAAGUUUGUACCAAGUAUUCAAGUAUCCAAGCCGGAUGCAGUCAGGUCUCAGGAAGGUUACAAUGAGAAGACAAGGCCUUCCUUCGAUAAUCAGGAUGUGGACAGCACCAUAAAACAUGAAACAAGCACUUCUUCUUCGGGUUCAUCGCGGCUAUCUAAUCAUCAAAAUUGGAAUCAAUUGGUUAUAGGUCGCCUAAGGGGCAUUAAGCAGAGAAUAAAGCAUGCAAUUAAGGUGGGCAAGAAGGAGGAAGGCAAAGCAAACAGAAAUCAGUUCCUCCAAACAGUUCCUACAGCAUCCACGGAUGGAGAAUAUAUGCCCAAAAGUUUUGAGCACAUGAGCAUGAGCCAGGAUGGUUCAGACAACUCCAUAAGUUGCAAUGAGACUGAUGGUUUUGAUCACAAUCUCAGCAACACGGUACUACACCUCAUGAGGAGAACUGCCUCUUUGAAUGAGUCCAUGGAUAAAUAUGCUCGGUUGUUUGAGUCUAGUUCCAGAAGAGAAAUGAAGUUGCCUCACUCUAAGAGCUUGAGAUUGAGGAAUGAAGAUAAUAUUUCAUCAAAAGAUAGUGCUCCAAAGUUCUUCAGAAGGAUUUCCUCUCUUUCUGAUGUGGAGUCAUUUUAUUCCUUAGUAAGAGAGGUGGUUCAUGAUUCAGAGAAGGCAAUCAGGACAGAAGAUGAUUGCAGUGCAAAUGCUGGAAGUCAUUCUCGUAGUGAAACAAAGUCCAGUAGCUUUGUUAUAGAUACAGAUAAAACUCAGCCUCUAGAUGCUGAUGUGGAGACACAAUUUCAAAAGAACAUGGAUGAAGGAAGAUCAGGAGAUGAGGGACUUCGUAAUACAGACGAACCUGCUGAGAAUAUGGUUGAGCCAGAAAACCUUACAAGCUUCUUCCGGGAAGAUCAGGAGAUUGAUAAGGCAGUGAAUCCUACCGUGGACCCUUCACAAUCAAGUCUAGCGUCAGAGCCUGAAAUCGUGGACACUACAAAAUGUCACAUUUCAGAAGGUAACAAUAUACACCUCUUAGUCUGUUACAGUUUGCAUUUCUUUUAUUGACUAGUUUGAAUAUUAUUUCCGUUAAUAACAUGAAUUGUCAGAGAAUAUUUCUGCAUAUCAAUUGCUUGAAGCUUGAAAAUAAUUACCUCAUGCCACAUUCAUUUUGCUAAAUUCUAGCAGGAUCAGAGUCAAAUCCUCUGUUUAUUCAUAUCGAUGAGGCAGAUUCUUCUAAUGUCAUGAAAAAUGAGUCCAUAGAAGAUUCUUUGCCAAGCUUGUGCAGCGAAGUGAACAAUGAGAGCGACAGUCGCUUCCUUCCUUUUGAAUUGGGCAAUGAUGAAGCUUCCUUUAAUUAUGUAAAAGAUGUUCUUCAUCUGUCUGGCUUUACUGGAAACGAGUCUCUUGGCAACUGGUACUCGCUGGACCAGCCAUUGGAUCCUUUAUUGUUCAAGGAAAUGGAGAGAGACUUGCACCAUCAAGUAAAUUACCCUGAAGUGUUGAGUGGCAUCUGCGAUCACCAGCUUCUAUUUGAUCUAAUCAAUGAACUCCUACUCGAGAUGAGCGAGACAUCCUUCACCUACUUCCCAAGAGCCUUCUCUUUCAAUCACCGCAUGCGUCCAAUGCCUAAAGGACACCGUCUUAUUGAGGAAGUUUGGUCAAGAAUUUGCUGGUACUUGAGCUUCCAAUCGGAGGCGGACCGUUCACUUGAUGACAUUGUGGCUCAAGAUUUGACAAAGGGUGAUGGUUGGAUGAAUCAUGAGUUUGAAACAGAAUGUGUAGCACUUGAACUGGAAGAUUUGAUCUUUGAUGAACUUUUACAGGAAGUUUGCUCGUGAGGUAGCCUAGGCCACGUUAAUAUUGCCGUCUCAACUCUCAAGGUUUUCUUUCCUGUUUUAAACCAGCCUUGUACAUAAAAUUUUUGUUUCAGUUCGAUAGUAGGUUGUAUUUUGUAUACUCCCAUUUUCCACAAAAAAGUUGUUUCAGUCUUACUUCAGUAAACAUUAGUCUGGUGUUGUCUUUUGUGACAACCUAGAAUAUGAUUCUUGUGUAAUAACUAAUAAAUGAGAGUUGUGAUAUAGUCAUAAAGUUGUGAUAUUCAAUUUAUAUUUUUUGUUAUACAAGUUAAAGAUUUUGGUCAUUUAUCGCAUGAGCGAUAAUGUAUGGAUAUUAAGUAUUUUUAUUGUUUUACAUGUUUUAUCAAUUAACCACUAAUUAUUCACAUAAAUUAUGAUCAGAAGAAGCCCAAAUUAAGAGAGAAUUUUAAUAUAAGAGAAUCCAUUGAUACAAUUUACCUAGGAAUACAAACACUUAUACAUUUUUUUUUUUGAUAAAUUAAUGUGCCAAUACAUGGCUCACUUUAUUAAUUACAUUGGAUUCAUCGAUCAAUACUAUACCAACACAUUAUAAUGUAAAGAUUUUGUAUCACUAUCAUUAGUGUUUUAAGAUUGCUAUGCUAGGCAAUGUGCAUGUAGCUUCGAAAUUCAGCACAACAUUAUUUGAUAAAUAAACAAAACAACUACAAACAAGCGAUAUAAUAACAUUCGAGUCGUUGUUUCAAAUGGUCCAAUUCAAUGGUAGUCCGUAAGACUGGCCCAAUUCAAUUAUGUUUUGGGGAGAAAUGAAAAAUUUAUAAACCCCCCUAAAACCAUUGUGUUUUGCCGCUUUGCGUCAGACGGCAAUGCCUGAACAGCGCAGUAAAUGGUGAUUCUGACGUCGAAAGAAAAGCCGGAUUCCUAAAAUUUAACGGUAUUCUACGAUCGUCUUGUUUGCUUUCAUGUGUGUGUGUUUUUUUUUUUUUUGGGAGGAGGGGACGUAUUGCGUUUGAAUAUUUCAGUCGGACUAUCCAAGUCAAAACCUGCAGCAGCUUCCAAUCUCCUAAUUUCCAUUUUCUGUUUCUUCUUUCUAUAAACAAUGAACUGGGUAUUCUUCAUUUACUCAUUCAUGUUUGCUUUAUGAGAGGUUGGACAUAGGAUUUGAGUUUGUCAAAUACAGUUCAAAUGCUUGAUGAAAUGCCUCACCGAAAUUAAUGUUUUAAUUUUUCCUUCUUUUUUUUGUUUUAGGUCACAAGCAUUUUAAAGACGCUGAUCGAACAGUAAGUUUGAGUUUGUAACGUUCAGCGGUUUGUAAAAUUUACAAUUUGGGAGGCGAUAACUGAUUUAACUGGGAGACAAAUGUGGAUGCAACGCGCAAAAUCCGUUUGGCACCUGGAAUUCUUUCACAGAUCUUCAAAAUCACCAUGGAUUUUUGAGUCAGUUUGUUCUUACUCUGAUGAUUCUCUGAAGAAGACGAAAGCUACUCCUUUGCAGGUUCCUCCCCCCCCCCCCCCCCCCCCCCCGGGGGGGUCCAUUUUAAAAAAACAUGCUCAUUCAUAUUUUUUCUGAGCAUUUUGUUUACCUUUUUUUUGUUGAAAUAUUUGGGAUGUUUCUGCAGGAAACUAGAAUGAGAGAUAGGUUUACGAUAUAUGCCAAAGGAGGCGAUGGUGGCAGUGGUUGUUGUAGCCUUCGCCGUAGCCGGCAUCUUCGCCGUGGCAAACCUGAUGGUGGGUCACAUAUGAUAGCUUUAUGGAAAUAAUCAUCCUUCUAUUAAGCAUUGAGUUAUGUUAAUUUCUUUUAAUUGUUGUUUAUAGUAGCAUUACUCUUGUCUUCUUUGACUGCUUUGUUUCUGCCUUCACUCUCUGUGCAUGUCAAGAUAGGCGAUCAUUGAUAAUCUGGUAAUUUUUGUGAGUUAGAAAUGAUUUGUUUGGUGAAAUGGUGUUUAAGGUAGUGCUAACUAAUGUAGGUGGGAAUGGUGGAAGAGGUGGUGAUGUGAUUCUUGAGUGUUCUCCUUCAGUUUGGGACUUCCGCAGUUUGCAACAUCACCUUGUAUGUUACUCUCAUCUUUUUGUCAUCGUGAACAAUAAAUUAGCUUGCCAGUCUAGCAUUGAAGUGAUUGAUAGUUAUGCUGUGCUGCAGAGAGCUGGGAAGGGGGGGCAUGGAGCUCCAAAGAAUAUGAUAGGAACAUGCGGGGAAGACAAGGUUCUGUUUGGCUGCUCUCUUUACCUGCAGGCUGCAGAUGGUGUAAUAGCUUUUAUUAUUAGGCCAUUUAAUUAAAAUUCAUUGAAUGAUUGUUUAUCUGGUAGGUUGUCCUGGUGCCAGUUGGGACUGUUAUUCAUCUUAUAGAGGGUGAAAUUCCAUCUAUGGUUGACAAUCGUUCAGAAUCAGAUUUGGAUCCAUGGGAACGACCAGGCUCACUUGUUGAUGAUCCUUCACUAUCUAAUCAACAGACUACCAUUCAGAACCCAAGUGUUCCAGAGGAAGUCAAAUCUACAUGUAAGAAUGAUAGUUCAUCUUCUCAUACUGAAAUUACAUCGAAGGCAUCAACAAACCUGCAGCAUGCCACUCAAGCUGAGCAGGAAGGCGAAAAACAAAUACAAUAUAACAUUGCAGAAUUAACCAAACAAGGUCAGCGAGUCAUAAUUGCUUAUGGGGGGGAGGGUGGUUUGGGCAAUGUGUGUUGCCCAAGUGUUUCAAAAAAGCCUAUGGUUAUGAAGUCCAAGUCCUACAAGAAUGGUCCUUCUGAUCCUAAAUUAGUCAGUGAUGAUCAAUCCUCCCUUGUUGCUGGUGAGCCUGGUUCAGAGUCGGAACUUAUACUUGAACUUAAGAGCAUUGCUGAUGUGGGCCUUGUGGGGAUGCCUAGUGCUGGUAAAAGUACUCUUCUAGGGGCCAUAUCAAGGGCUAAGCCUGCAGUAGGCCACUAUUCCUUUACAACUCUUAGGCCGAAUUUAGGGAACAUGAACUUUGAUGACAUACAAAUUACAGUUGCUGACAUUCCAGGACUCAUAAAGGGUGCCCAUGAAAAUCGUGGGCUUGGACAUGCUUUUCUACGGCACAUAGAACGCACAAAAGUUCUAGCCUAUGUAGUAGACUUAGCUUCUGGUUUGGACGGUAGAAAGGGUAUAAAACCGUGGGAACAGCUUAGAGAUUUAAUUAUAGAGCUGGAGCACCAUCAGGAAGGUUUAUCUGAUCGGCCAUCCUUAGUUGUAGCGAAUAAAAUUGAUGAAGACGGGGCUGAAGAAGUGUAUGAAGAACUGGAAAGAAGAGUGCAAGGUGUUCCUAUCUAUCCAGUGUGCGCUGUCUUAGAGGAAGGAGUGCCCGAGCUGAAAGUUGGUCUUAGAAUGCUUGUGAAUGGUGAAAAAUCUGAAAGACUUAGUUUAGAUAAAAUUCAUGUGGAUUAGGCUUUGGCACCCACUUUCAUAGCAAAAGAGAAACAAUGAAUUACUUAAAUAAAUAAAUAAAUUAUAUUUCUUUUCUUUUCUGUAGUAUUUAGUGCUUGGCAAUGGCAUGGAGUUGAACGUCAUCUGGGUUGUUUCUGUUUCGAAUGGCAUUGGAGUUGCUUUCGGGCUCGACUCGAUUUGUAAAUUCAGAGUCAUUUUCCAGAUGUAACUGCUGAUGCUUUUGUUCAUAUUCUAUUGUUUCUUUCAGAUAGUGGUCCGUGAAAGUUGUAGUUUCUGGUGUGCUGUCUGCUGGUUUUUCUCACUCGAAGCGUUACGUGUCUUGCAACUAGAAGAAGUUGCCCUCGUUAAAGAUAUUUUCCUGCCUGUGAAUUGUGAGUCUUAAAAACAAGAAUAUCCGAAGGGGUCUCUUCCAAAAAGAAAAAGAAAAAGAAAAAAUAUAAAACGUCAAACUAUGUUAACAAUUGUUUUAAUGCAGGCAGCAGAACCGAUAAUGUAGUGCUGCUGGCAGCCAGCUAAAGUGCUGAACUUCGGAAAUUUGAUUGAUCCUUUAACUGUGUCUUUUUUUCUCACCACUAGCUAAAGUUGGAAGUAAUGUUAAUGUUCAUUAUUGUACUCUGACCAAUGAGAAUGUGACAACUUCAUGGAGCCCAGGCCUGGCCACAAGCACCAAUGCUCAGCUGAGGUCCACUUGACAUAUGAAAGUUAAAGCUUCACCGAUGGUGGGUUCUUCCGGUUCCAUUGCUACCCUCUAAAUAAUUGAACUCGGCCACUUAUCAGUUCCGCAAGAAAAGGACCUUUUUGUUUAAGUUCGGUCAAUUCAAAUUUCAAGGUAGAGUUAUUGUUCAAAUCCUGUUACUACUCCCCAUCAACUGCAAUAAUUAAGAAGAGUGCUAAUCUACAUGCGAAGUUGUUUAAGCACAACGGUUUCACUUUUAAAAUUUUUUUAGUUUUUUUGUUACACUUAUAAUUUUUUCAUUGUUGAUACCCAGGCCUUAUAAUAGCAUUGUUAUACAUAAUAUGCCAAUAAGUUAGAGAAAAAGUAGUUUAAAAUACGAACAUAAGACUGGGAAUCCGGCUACCUUGCGACGUAAUUUAAUCCUAAAACAGGACAUCGACACACAGAACCUUCACAUAUGAUAAUUUACACAUAAUCAAGGAUUAAUUUAUAAUAUAAUUUUGUUCUUGUUCCAGAAGAAAAAAGUUGUUGCUAGCGAACAUAAAAGAGAAAGGGUGAGUGAAUAAAUUUGAAGAGGGAAUAACAGGUUGAAAAGAAAAGCAAAUGCCACAAACAGGGGAUACAAUCAAUUUGAGGCCCACAAGCAAAUGCCACAAACAGGGGAUCCCAUCAUCUUCAUCAUGACCGCAUAUGCACUAUGGAGUUGACAAUGGAAUCGUCGCUUUCUUAUUGCCCUCAAAGAAAAAGCUCAAGACAAUAACCAAAACAAAAAGUGUUUGAUAAAUUGCUGCGAAAAAUGGAAAAUGGGUGUGCAGCGAAAGCUUAGUGCACCUUACUGAUCACUCAAACCUCUCUUUUCGCAGCAAAAGGGCAGCUGAGGAAUUUCAUUGUUGAUCGAUUCACAAAACAAUCUAAUUCUUUGCGAAGUAAUAAUCUCCUGAGAAACUAUGUUAAAAGAAAAUGGGCAUUCUUUCUCCUUUAUAUAUUAAGCCUUGGCGUAUAAGCCUGGGCUGGGGUGGUAAAGAAUGGAUCAUACUUCAGCAGAGGGCGAGCGUGUAAACAUCAAGUUACAUAAUCAUCUCGCAGCAUCAAAGCAGAAUUGAGGCAUUCACGCAAGCAAAUUAUAGAGAAUGAAAAAUUUUUAAAACGACGAUUCUAGCAUUUUCUCGUGGUUUCCAUGAAAUGAAAGACUAAAAAUACAAAGAUUUAGGAAGUCAAAUGCAUUAGGCUCACUCAAAAGAAUAGAAGGUUAUAGAAGAAAAAUAUAAACCACAUAAAUGCGUAACUUUUAGCAUAUUAAAAUCUCAUUGAAAAAUGGUGAUAACUUCUAAGAACUUACAAAUCUUAUUGCCUCGAAGAAUCAGUCAAAUGCUAGCCAUUUUGAUGAUUGCAUUUAUUUAUGAAAAAGAGAAAGAUGCACGCUCCAUGCCUCUUCUUUUUUUUUUUUACUUUGAUGUGCAAGUAUACAAUAGAAAAUCUGUUGAUGUAACCGAAAAUUUUAUUAGGGCUAUAAUUUAAUUCUUAAAAAUAUUGAAAGAAAAUCUGUUUUAUUCAGAUUAGAAGGAGAGAUGAAUACCCUACUCAAUUUCAAAAUAACAGAAAACCCAACCCAUUGCCUCAAAGUUUUUGAGAGCUUCAUGCAUUCUUUUUGUGAGGCUGUUUGCCGACCCGAAAAAAGAUGAUUAUUGUUAAAUUUCCAGGGGCCCUACAAGAUUAUUUCGAUAUUCCCAAUUUUGAUGGUUAAGGCCUGAGAUUUUGACAGGCAAAAUGAAAUGACUUUAUUAUAGCCUCCGUAAGUUGGCCUGCUUUUAUGAUUGCUCUAUUGUUUAACUUAAAGAAAAUCAAACAUUUGACGUCUCCGUCCUCCUUUUCUUUGGCUUUUGCGACUUUUGUCUAGUGGGUAACUUGAAUGUCUUUUACCUUUUUCAAGUAUUCAUAUAUCUCCUCAAAAAAAAAAAAAAAAAGUAUUCAUGUAUCUCAUUAUGGGUUAGCUUUGUUACAUUUCGAUAUUAUUUAGUGGACUUUUCGAUGUAGGAUAUGUAUUGUGGGACCGACAUUUAAUAAAAUUAUGUAAAUUUGGAUAUAGUAAGUGGGGGGUGGGAGGUUGUCAAUUUUCUCUAUACUUAAAUAAGUAUAUAUCAUUUAUUUUUAUGCAGUUUUUAUAAUAGUUAAAGACACCAAAGAUUUCAUAGGAAAAGAAAGGUAAAUAGGUUAUUCAUUCGUUAAUUUAUCUUAGAAAUAUAAAAUAUAUAUUUAUUAUAAAAUAUAUGUAUAAAGAAAAUAUUAUAUUAUUAUUUUUUAUUAAGUCCAAAAUAUAUAUUGUAUUAUUUCUAAUACUUAAAAUUUUAUUUGAAUUUGAAUUAUUAUGAUUUAUUUAAUUUACAAUAAAUAUAAUUAAAAGAGAAUUUAAAAAUAAGAUAUCCUUUUUUUAGGAAAAAAAAUGUCUAUCUCUCUUUUUUUUUAAAAAAAAAAACUAUCUUUAUAUUUUUCAAUCUCCCCCUCCUUCACGAGAACUCAAAUCUCUCAACGUGUUAUGUGAAAGAUGAAACCGAGCUUUCAUGAGGGGUAAGUAUAACCACACAAAACCUCAAUAAUAAAAUCACAUGUUUAUAUUUAUAAUAUUAUAUAAAAAAAUCAAUUAAAAAAUAUCAGUGCUACGUUACGUUAAUUGUAACAUAUAUUAUAUACAAUAAUAAUAACAAAUUCCAUCAUAAGUAUUAUUACUGCGUGUGAAUAUACGUUACAUUGUGAAUGUACGUUACAUCAACGCAGGGGGCUCCAUUAAAAAAACCUCUUUGUCAGAGACAGGCACAGGGACACAGGAACGGGAGCGGAGCGGACUUCUCAAUUAUCAUCCCACCGAAUAAUCCCCAGAACAGUGCGUUUAUUUGUUUAUUUAAUUAAUUGACGACAGAAAUGAGGGGCCAGAAUAAAUUUUAUUAUUAUUUUAAAAUGUCAAAAUAUUACGUGGACGUGGGCAAAACGACAUCUAAUACUCUCCCGUGCGGCAUCAAAGACGCAAUCGCUUUAAGAUCCAUCCACGUGUACGGUGGAGAUCCACAACUUCAUUCACCAUCCGCACUAUAAAUACUGGUCAAGGUCCCCGCAGUAUCACCCAUCCCAGUAAUCUGAUUUCGAUCUAUUUGUCUGCAAAUCUUCCCAUUUGUUAUAUCACCAAAGGAAAACGAAAAAUGUCUGGCUGUGGUGGAAACUGUGGCUGUGGUUCUAGCUGCAAGUGCGGCGGCGGCUGCGGCGGGUACGUUACGCUUUCCAUUCUUCCAAUCCCUUUUAUUUAAUUAAAUUCAUCCCACAAACUGUAGUCUUUUUUUUUUUUUAAUUCGUUUUUUGGACAUGCAGUAGCUCCAUGUACCCUGACUUGAGAUCCUUUGAGAGCACCACCGUAGCCACCGAGACCCUCGUCCUCGGUGUUGCUCCUGUCAAGAUGUACGUAAAUGUGCAGUCGUUACAGAACUGUGUUUUAAAUUAUUGAUUUUUAUUUAACAGAUUUAAAUCAAUCUGACGUUACAUUAGCCUGCAUGGAAAAGGAAUCCAAACGGUGUCAUUAUUUGUGUUUUUAUAUAAAUUCAGGGA
RNAcentral lists this long non-coding RNA (67038 nucleotides) under Citrus maxima (pomelo). RNAcentral's name for it is "long non-coding RNA (CMAX_LNC003536)". The record is from RNAcentral. Lineage: Eukaryota; Viridiplantae; Streptophyta; Magnoliopsida; Sapindales; Rutaceae.